UUUUUUUUUUUUACCCAUUCUCUGUUUUCACUGGGACGUCACGUAAGCAUCCGUUGAGAAAAAUAACAAGGAAAGAAAGCACAUUAUACGCUUCAAUCGACCGCACUAUACCCGCUGUCCGCUGAUGCAUCGCUCUGUUGCUCGGAUACUCGAACGUAGUGGACUGUAUCUUCUAGGUAACCAUGCAUCGAACAAUGAUGCCAUUCUUGUUAAAAAGAAGAAACAAUGAUGCCAUUCGGCAGCCCGCAGCCCUCCCUGUUCUGUUCGCGUGUUCCUACUCAUUUUCGGCGCGAACAAUGUGCGCGCGCCCAGGUUUUCCUGGGUUUCUUACUCGCUAAGAAUUUUGCAGCGUCGUCGGGAAAGGGCAAAAGGCGGAAGGAGAAGGAAGAGCAGGAGUGUGAAGAGGGAACCAAUGAUCCAUGGCCCCAUGUACGCAUGAUGAUGGAGUGGAGGAGGUCCAGCGGCAAUUGCGGGAGGCCAAUAAUGAUGGCAUCAUGGCCCAUGCAUUUGCAUCAGGCUUCUUUUCAUGCAGCAGCUGGGGAACCCAUAAAGCCCUCCGGACUGGGACGGGCUGCCAAGAACUCGGCGACCACUUGUACCAGGAACCAUGUUUCAAACCGGCAGUAGAAACUGCAAUCCCGUUCCGGAUUGGUGACGUGCAGUGGACUUGGAAUUGGUACUUGCGCGAUCCUUUCGCUUUCUGGGCGACAAAAUGUGGUUGCAUCAAGUUAGCUUCGUUGCGGUGCCAUGCCAAUAUGCAUGUUCAGUCCUCGACAAAAUGAGAUCAGGCACAUUUUGGACGACUGAAACACAGAAUCCUUGGCUAUCACUUUCGUUGCUCCUCGUUCCAGCUCUGAUCUGGCCACCUGGGGCAGCACUGCAGCAGGAUCGGAUCAUCACGGGGCGAUCGUUCUCUUUGCAUCGGAUGCAAAAGGCUUCUGCCUUAGCUUCUUUCUCUGCGGUCGUUGCUCCCUCGCAUCGAAGCGCAGAGCACCCACGCGCAGCACCGAGGAAUAGAUCCCCCUGCCGGCUGCCGCGAGCCGUGCCGACAAGCCACGCGAAGCGAGGCCGGAGGAAUCCGUCGGAUGCCAUGCUGCCAUGCUACAGUGCGCGCAGGGCAUGAAGGCCUGCCGUCGGCAGUGAUACCGGCUGUCACUUUUGUAUAGGGUGCACGGAGCUCGCAUCCCCUCGUCGUCGCUGGCUCGCUGCCCAGCGCCGAUCGAUCGAGAGGUCGCUCUCGCGACGCAGACGGACUGACGCCUCGAUGAACACAGGUGCGGCAGGACAGUCGAGGUCGUCGCAGCGGCGGGUUGACGUGCCAAGUUGCACCGGGCACAGUGGACACUCGUCUCUGCUGCGCUGCACGACCAUCCUGGCGCGCAGGGCCGCUGGAAGGAGGCUACGGCUACACGAGGGGAACUGGGGAAGCAGACCUCCUCUUGCACAAACAAUGAAGGAUUACGAAUUGUCACACGGUCACUUUACAAAGGCAAAAAAAAAACAUUUCGUGAAGGAUUACGGUUUUCGUUGCCGUGUCCUCAGAUCAUGACCACGGAAAAGGUGUACACAGACACAACUAACAACCCCGAUCCCAUCGCGAGGGAAUGCUCGAACACGGCGUAUCCGUUCGUCACAUCGCGGAAGACUCUCCUGGACGUUCAGAGGAUAUAGCGUACGGCGGAUGCCUCGAGUCGAGAAACGAACGUUGCCGCGAUCCUCGAAAUUGCUAUGCGUCGGACGGAACGGGUCCCAGAACACGUGGACGUUGCGAAAUCCGCGCGCACGGGCGCCGCCGGGCCUCACCCGGAUUCCCCGAACGCGCCGCGCGCCCGUGCCCGAGCCGCCCCGGCGUUCCCGAGCCAGCAACAGGCGCAACAGACUGUCGUCUCCAGCAUCUAUUCUCGGCUGCCAUCCCGUGGAUGGAGUCCGACCAUCGAAUAACCUUCUUUUAGACUGCUAAAUGUUUGUCAACGGCAUCCAUUUAGACGCAAUAAGAUCCGACGGGAACUGUAAUAUUUCAAAAAUUUAUAAUAUUUGUAAGAAUGAAAAUUUGCAAAAAAUUAAAACUUUUUGUUUGAAUUGUGUGCUCAUUUGAAAAGCUAAAUUCCAUUUCAAAAAUAUGUGUAGCUUGAUUUGGACUUUUAUUUGAAGUUCAUGUUUGAGUGUUGUUUGAAUUUUGGAUUCAAUUCAAAAUUCAAACUAAAUUUAAAACCUAAAUCUAAACCAAAUAAAACAAAACUUAAUCUAACCAGCCCGCUAAUCGGCCCGCUAACCUCUCCCCUCAACCGCGCACCCAGCCCAUCUCACCACCAGCGCUCGCUAGCUCGGCAGCCGCUGCUCGCCCGCGCCUUGCCCACCCACUGGGCCGCUCGCCCACUCGCGCCUGCGCCCGGCCCAGCUCGCUCGCGCUGCUUGCCCACGCCCGCGCCCCCGGCCCUGUUCAUCUUCUUCCCUUCUUCGUACCGCACGCGCCCGGCGCGUGUGCGGUCACGGGCGGGCGGAGGGGCCGCGCUGGCGCGCACCACCGGCCAAAGGAUGCCGCCGUGUCCCGCUCCCAGGAGCUUCCGUUUGGAGCAAAAGACGCUUGUACCCUCGCAUCUCAAACCCUAGGGACGGGCCGCAGAUGGGCGCCACACCAUCCUCGAGCGUGGAUGCUGAGGAUGGACGGCCGGCACCAUCCUUUCCCCUCCACCACCUUCUCCGCCCUAUAAAACCAGUCACACCCCCUCUCCGGCCUCACCACCUCUCUAGCCCUUGGGGCGGCGCCGUCCACCACGUGAGGGAGGGAGAGGGCCAUGGGAAGGAAAGGAAGGAAGGAGAAGGAAGGAGAGGAGGUGAAUAAGAGGAAGGAAUGAGGAGGAAGCCGUCCGUGGGAGCAACCGCCACCCGAAGCUGUUGCCACCACCGCUCGCCACCGACGCGUCGCGCCUCCGCCAAGCCUCGCCAUGAGCCCGCUCGUCCCCUCUCCCAUGCUCUGUUUCGAUAGUGUAGCGUAGAGUAGACCGGGCCGCUGUCGCCGCCUUACCGUCGGCCGCCACAGACCCGGGUCUCCGGUGUUCCACGUGCCGCCGCGGCUAAGCCAUGGCCGGGAGCCCGUGCCCGCGCGCUCGCUCGCGCCGCGCCCGCCUCGCCCGUGUGCCGCUUGUCGUGCGCGGCCACGCCCGCGCCGUGCCACGCCGCGCCGCCGCCCACGUGGCCGCCACGUCGGCGCCACGUGGUGCUGACAUGGCCGAGCCAGGCCCAUCGGUGGGGCCCAUCUCUGACCGUUGACCGGUCAACGUUGACCGUUGACUAGGUCAACACUGACGUCAGCAAGACACGUGGCAUCCCCUCAGGCUGCCACAUGGACCAAUUCCGUGCUGACACGUGUUCCCCUUAAUAAGUAUUUUCUGAAAUUAUUAAAUAAUUAAAUAAAUUCUUUAAUCUUUAAAAAUUCAUAAGUAAUUUAUUUUAACUCGGAAAAAUAUAAAACCAGUUGCAUUAAAUUCGUAAAAUCGGGCUCGUGCUGUUUGUAGCUAGGUUGGUAUUAUUUGGAUCUUAUAAAUGUGGAUUUCUUGGAGUUUUUUCCUAGAUGUAAUGCUGCUUAAUUUACGCUUUGUUGUAUCUCAUUCUGUUCAGACCCGAGCUACGACCAGGAAGACCUUCAAGGCCCCGACUACGCCGAAGAGGACCCAAUAAACUACGGACAAAGUGUCGUGUCACUCCCAAUUAUAUAGAUCCUAUGCAUGCUUAGUUGCUAGCGCUUUACUUAUAUUGCUUGAUGAUGGUGGAUUGCAUAGCCGAUGAUUUUAGCCAUACCUUGAUAAUUGUUUAUUCUAUUUUCCUUAUUUACCUACUUUUAUGGACUAGCUACAGACCCUUAGCUUAUUGCUUGAUGAUGGUGGAUUGCAUAGCCAAUGAUUUUAGCCAUACCUUGAUAAUUGUUUAUUCUGUUUUCCUUAUUUACCUACUUUUAUGGACUAGCUACAGACCCCUAGCUAGUCCACCGCUCAUAUAUCCAUAUACAUAUUUUUGAGUUAUGGAUGGGCAUUUGCCAUUAUUUUGGUGAUAGAAUUCCUUGAACACUCUCGCAUGUGUUUUGGGUGAGUGUGAAUCCUUGAUGUGUUCGAGAGCAAGCCAUGGUUGGUACUGAGGAGUGCAUUGCCGGGAGAGAGCUUUCUGGACUCUCUCUGUACCCUGUACCUAUGGCGGGUACCUUGUUUGUUACUGAGAAGCAGAUGGCGUACUUGUACAUUGCAGGUGCUUCGGCACGUACUUGUUGGCAGAGUGCUCGCUCUCAGCCGCUUAAGGACCGAGUCAGUUUACCACCAGUCGCAGUAGCUACUUUUUGCACUUACCACUCGCUUACGUUAUGAGUGGGGUUCGAUCCGAGACUAAUAGUGGAUAGUGCUCUGCAUGUAGGCGGAUUGGAGGAUCGUGAAAGAAGUUCGAGGCGUUGGCUUGCUCGGACCAGACUGCACCCCGGUGUAUGUAGGUUUCACAGCUUCGAGGUCCUUAUUGGUGAAGGCGUGCCCUGCUGCUGAGGAUGAUUCCAGACUCGAGGAAACAGGAGAGAGCUAUCCACUUACUAGGGCUCCGGCUGUUAGGUGGGGUUUGGACGACUAGCUACCGUUCAAGCUCAAUCCGUGCAGGUACAGUUGUACAACCUCUGCAGACAGAGUAUAUAAGCUAUAGCUAUAGUCCGUGUCCACUGGUUAUGGACAAUGUUGUUGACUACCGCUACUUGUGACUAGAAUUUUCUUAUGCUUCUACCUUUCCUUUUUGAGAUAGGUCGGCAUUUGCCGUUGAGAUGUGAGGGAAGGGAGCUCUCACAUCGCCUAAUGUGUUUAGGUGCUGGACCCUCGAGUGAGGGAUCUAGUGAUUUGUGCCGACUUCCUUACUUGAGGUGUUGACCUUGGAGAUGAUGUUGCUUUGCCGCUUCCUUGAUGGCUGCUGCUACUGCAUAAACCCCUACGGUCAUAUAUAGGUUUUACUCAUGCAUAUAGUAUAAUUCCCCCGUUUUCUUGGCUUUGCUGCUUUUGGGAGUUGACAUGGCCUACCCGCUUCUCGGGUAAAAGGUGGCUUUUCAUGAUCAGAGCUCAACUACGACUUUGACAACGACGGCUGAGAAGACUAGGGACCGUUGUUCGCUCGAGUCGUCUUUGGAGAUGGAGUUCACCAUAGCUUUUGUUUUCCACUACGUUGAUGUUUUACCUUUCUUGAUUUAGUCCUGAUGGAUUUGUACCGGCAUGUGCCGCUAAGAUGUACUCGUACUCAUAUUAUCUAUGAUAUUUGUACUCUGUUACGCUUUCUUUUUCUACGUUGGUAUGGAUUUGUACUAUUUGAGAUAGGGAUUUGCACGUGAUAGCCUUCCUGAAACUAUCACCGAGGUACGUGGGUUUAAAUUCUCAGAAAUGGAAAUUCGGAUCAGUUUCAUAAACGUUCGACCUUAACACACUGGCCGGCACGACACUAACGUACAUUGGAUGUUAGCAAAAAAACAUCUAUCUAAAUUAUCACACGUUUCCAUUUUCUUGGUCUUUUUUUCUUGCACCAGGCUAGCUUACCUAAGAAAAAAAAUAGGAUACGUUUUUAAACAGGCCUGCGUAAGGCACUUUCAAAAGCUUAUCCCACUCCCGGCCAAAUAACCUUCUUUCUUUACUCUCGUUCACCCUUCCCGGGGGUGGUGGUAUUAGGGUCGCACUCUUUGCAUUGCUGACCCUCAGCGACCUGCUUAACUAGUAGCGCGGCCGCGAGACGGGCAGGCGGCGGCUACUGGUGGCGGCGGCGGCGCGGCCGCAGAGGAGCGCGUUCUCCGGGAUGGGGAGCUCGUCGCGGAACGAGGGCGUCGGCGUGUACACCCGGAGGUAGAACUGCUGGCCCAGGUACCGGCGCGCCCACACCUCCGACCUCAUGUUCCACAUGCCCACGUUGUCCAGCGCGAUCAGAACCGCCGUCCACCCUCUUGGGUAUACCUGCACGUACAGAGCAACGAGUGAGCAUAGCCACUUAACAGUUGACAAACCUAUGCCUGGCAGGAGAAGAAUGAUCAGAAGGAAAAAAAAAUGUCUUUACUUGCACGGUGCAUCGCGAUACUGCAUCCACGAGGUUGUAGCUGUCCCUGCUCUGCUCGGUCCACGUCCCCACGUCCAUUCUACGUUAAUCGUCAGCCAAAAGUUCACAGACCAUAAGGUUGCCGGUUCUAACGCGAGUUUAUUUAAGCUUAAUCUCUGAAGGAGAAGGUAUUCACGUACCCGACGACGAACACGCUGUGGCCGUCGAGGUGCCAGCUCUGGACGCCGUCCUCGCUGUUCUCGAGCACGACCUCGACGAAGGACCGGUGGUCAGAGUCCAUGACGGCCGUCUCGCUCCGCACCUCCUCCGUGGCGCCGCCAGCCGGCGGCGUGUCAGGGAUGCCGCCGAGGCGGAACACGCCGCUGAUGUUGUAGUAGUCCGCCAGCUUGAGCGGCGUGUCGGCCUCCGCGAACGAGACGCCGUUCACGGCGUACCGCAGCUUGCCGCCGACCGACCCCGCCGAGUUGGCCAGCCGGAUGGUGCGGGUCACGUUGAUGGAGCCGUAGUGGUACGAGCCCUGCGGGUUCGGCCUCGGCCCGCUCGCCGUCAGGUUCGUCCUGCUCCCGCGACAACAAAGCUUCAGGUUCAUAUACGAAUCGACCGAGAUGUGUGCAUGGUGAGCUUUGGAUGUCCAUGGCCCGGAUGAGUUCACGUUUCUACCUGAUGGAGCGAGCCUGGUUCAGAGAAAAAUCGACGUCGCUUGGUGCAUCGGGUAAUGCCUCGAAAGCUGGGCCACUUGAACCAGCGUAGCGGAUGACGGCGGUAGAGCGGAGGGUGGUGUUGAUGAAGCGGGUGGAGACGGCGAUGUAGUAGUCCCUGGCCUGGCGGUCGGCGGUGAACAGCACGGAGAGCGACUGGCCGGCGUGGACGUCGACGGAGGUGUACGAGUUCUGAACCGUGUGAGUGCCCUCCACCUCGACCAGUGUCAUAUUGUGCCCUUGGAUGAGGAAGUUGAGCGUGUUCUGCAGACCGACGUUGGAAAUGCGCAAUCUGUAUGUCUUUCCUGAAUGGAAGAAAAAAGGAAAGCAAUGUGAACCAUGACUACUUUCCCAGGUCAGUUUUUUUAUGAGUUUGUUUAAGGCAAUUUUUUUUGAUUUGACCGGGAUAUAUAAGAAAACAAACAGACAUGGCCGUUUUGGCAACUAGGUUUUGAUCAAACUAAUCCCACAAAGUAGCUUGGAAUUUAGAAGUCAAAGUCACCUUGCUCAACUGUGAAAUUUGCACCGUCUGGACUCCUCUUCCCGUUGAUCAGGAUGCCAUCAGGGGAAGGCAGUUCCUUUCCACAGUCCAGCAAAUCUUGUAGCGCCUAAAUUGACAGCAAGAACAAACGUCUAAGAACCGGUUGGGCCAGUAAUAGCAAUACGAUAUUUCAUCAAGCCAUACCUUGUGGCUAGCGGUGUACCAGUCGCCGAUGAGCACAGUGUACUCGUCGUCCGGCGAGGGGAACGGGACGGGGAUCAACGGCCGGCUGUGGAUGCGUAUUGCGCCGAAGCCGCCGGCAGCUUUGUGGAAUGCCAGCGACGGGAAGUAGAAGAAGCUGCCGAUCUGGUCCUUAGCCUGCAAGUGGUAAGUGAAAUUCUGGCCCGGCGGGAUUGGGCAAUUGGUGCCGGACACGCCAUCCUGCCACGAGUCCUUGCGUUGCUGCAAACCGUUCCUGCCAAUUUAGUAAAAAUGUAGCAAAUUAGUUAACAUUCACUUGGACAGUAACUCUAUAUUUUACUGAAAAAUAAAUAGAGCAAAUAUUUUCCCUAACUAACUCGUCAACGCUUUUCAUUCUUUAAUAUGGGAAAUCUUGUAGCCGAUAAUAAAUACUCUGGCAUAUAUGUAGUACAUUGAACUUCAUGAUGCUCUAGGUUCCGUUUAGAUUACAAUUAUAUCUCAAUAUUGAAUUAAAUCUAGACCAUCAUUUCAUAGCCAUCCAUAAUUCUAUCACAAUGCUACCCGUGAAUAUCCAAGUCCUCCAAGAGAUGUAGCUAUAAGCCAUAAUUCUAUCAAAAAAAUAAUUGCUUAGCAUCCAAUACAAAUUGGUAUUCAAUUCAAGCAACAAUCAUCAAUAUAGCAGUUUUGUUGCUGCACAACUCUAAUAAACAUAUAUCAUCAGGUAUAAUUACAUGUAGUACUCAUCUUAGAAACCCACCGAAUUUGACAAGACAAGCAAAUCAAUGAAUACAAUAUUUUUUUAUAGAUUGAUCUGACCAUACCAUGAAAGCAGAAACGGAUCGGGUAAAUUGUUGUGAACAUUGAUGAUCAAGUUCUCGUUAGUCUGGCUUUCAAUCGUCGGACCCGGAAACUGGCCAUUGAUCAGAAUUCCCUAGAAAAAGAAGCAAACACAUCGCUCAUGAUGGGUGAUUUUCAGGAAGCGAAGGAAAUUGUAGGGCGAUGCUACACGUUCCAUGACCUAUAGCAGAUUGUUACGUUACCUGCUGCGAGACGCCCAGUGGUCUUAUUUCGCCGUAGGUGAUGUUCCAACCAAAGAAUCUAUAGGGUGCUUCAGCCGACGCGGAGUUGAUCAGCAAGAAGAUGCAAGCAAGGAGCAGGUCUCGCGUGUUCCCGGCCAUCAUCUCCUCCCACGGCGCGCUUGCAAUUCGGUAGAGGCGGAGGAGAUGGCGCGGCUAGCCGGCUACUAUAUAUAGGGCAAGGCUGGCGGCGGCGGAUUUCUUUUAUUUAUGGUAUGCAGGCGUGGAGGCGACUGCGGAUAUGCAGGCGUGGAGCCCCCACUCCCUGAUGUGCGUAAGGCCCACGUCCGAAUGGGCUCCAUUCGCGCGCCGUUUGAACAAGACCCAGGCCCUUAUGCGGGCUCAUUCUGAUGCUGAGAGAUAGGCUAGCCCAAAAGCAACGCGGGCACCCAACGCUUGCUGCUUUACCGAGCGACGAAAAAGCCCAUCUAAAAAAAGAAAUAGAAUGACCAAAUAGCCCACACUGCCUCCGGCGCCGUCCGGUCCCCGUCGUCAUCCGAAGCCGCGCCGCGACGAGCGAAGAAGGAACAAUCCGGAGGCGCACCACCUGCCUCACCUUCUUCCUCCCAUGGCGCAGCCCCUCGCCGCCGCCGCCGCUGUAUCCUCCUCAUCGCCCCUCUUCUCCCUCUCCUCAUCCCGCCCCCUCGUCCGCCGCCACGCGCCUCCGAGCUAUGUCUCGAUGCGGACGCGUCGCUGUUUGCAGCUCGCCGCGGCGUCGGCGGCGGCCGAGACAUCCGGCAGCCCGCUUCUCGAGGUGCGGGGGCUCACCGCAUCCGUGAAGGAGACCGGACAGCAGAUCCUAGCCGGCGUCGACCUCACCAUCCGCGAGGGCGAGGUUCGUGCGGGUUUCUCAUUGGCUGGAAAUUAUUGGCGGCUUGUGGUGUAUUGCUUAAUUGGGGCUGCAAGGGGUUGACCGACGAUGGUUUUAAUUUCUGUGCUUUCUUGUUAUAGAUUCAUGCGAUCAUGGGGAAGAACGGCUCCGGCAAGAGCACCCUCACAAAGGUAAGGUGCUUCUGGUCGAUGCACCUGCUCUUCGUGUUAUAAUUGAAAGCAUUGAGAAAUAGGACGUUUCUGCGGGCAUGCGUUUAUUUGGAUGUUUAUACGAGGCACUACUUUGCUAAGAUCAAGGGCUGUGCUGAAAUAUUCCUUGUUACUCCUGUAAUCUAAUUUUGUUCAUUUUAGUUUUCACUAUGCAUUGUCCCCAAUCGUAGUGCUAGCCUACUGCACUAAAAUUUGCUUCACUAAAAGAAUCAUGCACUACUACUGGUUCAGUAAUCUAGCCACGUAUACCUUUUAAAGUUAUUAAUCAGGAAAUGGCCUGUAUACAAAUUGUAAAAAAAGUGUGCUCUUUGCUUUGGUACCUGCACAUUCGGUUGAACCUUUCAUCCUUGCUUUGCAGGUUCUUGUUGGCCAUCCACAUUAUGAGGUAACUGGCGGUACCAUCCUCUUCAAGGGUGAGGACUUGGUUGACAUGGAUCCAGAGGAUAGAUCUCUUGCAGGCCUUUUUAUGAGCUUCCAAGCACCUAUUGAGAUUCCUGGAGUGAGCAAUUUUGAUUUUCUGCUCAUGGCAGUCAAUGCUCGCAGAGAAAAGAGUGGUCUACCAGCACUAGGACCCCUUGAGGUUUGAUUUCACAACUGCUGUGUUGAGAUAUAUAAAUUUUCACAAGCCAUAAAUAUAAUAAAACAUUGUCCUAAUAUAUUUACAACAUUACUCCAUCUGUGAUCAAAUACUGGUAUGUUAUAUAAAAGGCAGGAAAGGGACGAACAAAGUUAGUAUUUUGUUUGAUUUGGUGGAUUUCAAAUGAAGCUUAGCUUGCCAUAUUAAAUUGUAGCAUCAUACUAGUUCUCAUGCAGUAAGAUAUUGCAACUAUGAAUUUGUGAGAAAGAUGUAGAUAUACCUCUUCAAACAUAUAACCCAGGCAUUGAUUCUGAAAUGUCUUUGCUUUCUCAUGCAGUUUUAUUCGGUUGUAUCGCCCAAAAUUGAUGCCUUGAAUAUGGACCCUAAGUUUCUUGAUCGAAAUGUGAAUGAAGGUUUUAGUGGUGGUGAAAGGAAGCGCAAUGAGAUAUUGCAACUUUCAGUAAGAUAUUGCAACUAUGAACUUGCAUGGAAUCUUGGUUUGUACGCCAAUGAAUAUUACACUUCAGUGCCUGUGAACUAAGCAUGAAGCUGCACAGUUUUUUAACUUUUCAUAUUACAGUCAUGACGUUUUUAAAACAUCUCAGGGUUAGUUAUAUAGGAUUGUAGUAAAAACAUAUUUCUUGGCUUGCAGCCUUGCAUACGGUUUCUUUUUUUUUAUGACUAUGGAGUUGGAAUUUCUUUUCCUGUCUUAUGAAAUCUGUGGUAGAUUUGUCUGCCAGACCUUUGGAAUUUGGUGUCCCCCAUACAUUUUUGAAGCAAAUGUAUUUUACAUGAAGUGUAUAUUUGAUACCAUGAUUGUAUUCGGUUAUACUUAUAUUUGGUAUUCAGUAGGUCUUUUUCCCCCAAUGAGGAUCACCUUUGAAAACAGUUUUCUUAUUUGUGCAUAUCGUUGUCAUUGUUUUGUUGAGGUUUUUUAUGUAUAUAUUAUGUGCUUGACGAAGUUUCGAUGCAUUGGCAUAAUAACACUUUUUUUCUUAGACGAAGCUUAUGUAGUAAUGUGAAUAUACUAGGCUUCAGAAUUUGUUUUGUCUAUCUAUUUGUGCACUUCAUCAAUAGAUUACCAUCUCUGAUUCAGGGUGUUUGUUUGUUAAUUAGGUCAUCGGAGCAGAUUUAGCUCUUCUUGAUGAGAUAGAUUCCGGAUUAGAUGUUGAUGCACUUGAAGAUGUAGCUAAUGCAGUGAAUGGGCUCUUGACACCCCAAAACUCUGUUCUGAUGAUUACACAUUACCAACGCCUUUUGGAUCUCAUUAAGCCCAGCUAUGUUCACAUCAUGGUAAGGCUGAUUACUGUUUGAUCAUUACAUCUAUUUUUGCAUCAUUAUAGAGCAUUUCCAUACAAAAGACUGCACUCGUGGUCCCUCUUUCUACGAUGUUAAUCUGGGAUAAGGUGGUGAAGAGCUGUUGCAAACAGCUAAUGGCCAUUAUCCCACCUUCCCACGGAGGAGAGAGACUGCGGGGAUUCUGUAUUGGUUGCAUUAAAGAGGCUAGUCUAUGACAGGGAUUGGGAUGCUACAUUUCCAUUUCAUCUACUACUAAAUUCAUGCGCACAAGUUUAAGAUAAUUUGUAUCUUUAGUAUUUAUACUGGACACCGUUCAGAUGUUUAUAAGCAAUACUCGCUUUUCUUUCUUAUUUGAUGUUUGAUGCUUACGCACACUUAUUAAAUAAAAGCACUAGAUGAACCCAUACUCCUAUUCAUUAAAUAUGUGUUUUUCCUAAAACCCCCCGUUGUGACCAAUUAACACUGAUAUUGAGUCUUAUAAAUUAUAUCACACACUAAACGUGGUUACUUCAGAAAGAUGUUGGUAUCUCUCUUUGUUAAAAUCAGAUGGAAAAAGAAGACUUGUAUAAACAAAACCAAGAACCAAGAAUGGAUGUAACUCUAAAUAAAAUUUACAGGGAACAUCGAUGGGUCCAGUCAUGUGGCCUCCACACUAAUUAAGACCUUGUUGGCGUCUUUGUAAUCCUUACUUUAUUUCCAGGUUUCAGAAUAUGAGAUCACUGCUUGUAUUUUUGUGCUUCAAACUUCUUAGAAUACAGGGUUUGUGUUGUUUCUGAUAGUGCUUCUGAUUGAUUAUUCCAGGAAAAUGGCAAGAUAAUCAAGACUGGUGACAGUUCUAUUGCCACACAAAUUAAUGAAGGUGGCUUCAAGUCGAUCGCCCUUGUAUAGCUUGAAAGUAGGUUCUAUUUUCUUCCUUGCGCCUUUUCUUAUAUAUUUUGUGGGAAUAUUCUCGGUCUUCUGACUGAUAUGAAGUUGAACUAUGCAUAGACAUGGUGGCAGUGCCAGUGAUUUUCCUGAUAAAAGAAAUAAAAUGAUCAGAAGGAAUUUGUUUAGAUUGGUCUGUGCAAAAGUAAAUGAGGUUCUUAAGGAUUAAAAAACUCACUGCAGGUCAAAUACUUGAGAUGGCUUGUUGGGAGCCUACUUGUAAGAAUAGAGUGGCAGAGUGGCUGCUGAGUGCUGACUGCUGCCUGGGGUUCGCCAUUUUGCAUUACUAGACCAACUAUGCAUGCUGGUGCAGCAUGUACUGACUUCAAUAAAACUUUUGAGUAGAACCCCAUUCAACCAGGCAUGUUAUCUUUUAAAAGGUGAAGGGAUAUGUCACCUUUUCUCUGUAAGAAUUUUAGUCAUACCCAGGGAAAGUAUCUUAGUACAAGAUCCACAAUUUUUGUAUAUUUGAGUGUAACUGGCUGCCUCAGGCAUCUGGUCAUCAAGAUUGGUUUUGCAUGCAUCUUUUGUAUACAAUUUUGAGACUUGUAACUAAUAUGCAUACCUACAAGGUUACUUGGUUGUCUCCACACGAGAGAAUUUGGUCCUAUCAUCAAUGUACAUGUGUGCAGCCUCUCUAGGCUGCCGAUUUACCUAUUUCUGUUAUGUUUUAUAGUGUGCAAAAGCACCUGAGCUUCAAUCGGGCUUAAUGACCUAUGACUCCACUAAUGGUAUUGGUGCUGGAUUUCUGUUAUUCCCAUUGCAGUUGACCUCUGUCCCAAAGAAUAUGAUUCGGUUGUUCGCUUGUUGGGACUGGUGGACCAUGCUGAAGUUUUCUUAUGUGCAUUCCAGACAAACGUAUUCUUAGGCUGUUAACCUUUAUCCGUCCGCCACUAUAUCACUAAUGGUGAGUGGCUACGGGGCUUAGCCUCUCCUGUUACAAUUUGCAAGUGCUAGCACCAUCCAAUAACAAACGAAUCUUUAUGAGGUGGCGGCUUUCUUGCUGCUUAGUAAUAAGCAUUGAUCAAGGUUGCAACUUGCCGUUGACUCUGUGCACUGUGGUCUGAAUUCAGUAUAAAAUAUAGAGCAUGGUAAUCUAUUUCAGCUUUGACUUCUGUUCUUCGGCGCAAUCGGAGGUGAAUUGAGGAAGGUGUUAUCAGAUUCAGUCGAAAAGCUAGGUGAAAGUGGUCAACCUCGCACUCUGUCGAAGACAGGAAUCGGAGAACCUUCGGUGGAUGCCUGAGCAUCUGGCCAAUUUCGAAAGGCUACAAAUCUCGAGCACAUGAAAGUCAACUGCUUCGUACUAUAAAGAUUUCGAGAAUUUCGAAGGUCCUGCAGAACCUACAUGGCUGCAUUAUCCAUGGCCGUCACUACAUCUUCAUUCGGGUGGUCAGUAGCACAGCAUCCUCCUUUUCGUCCGGCCUCCACCGCACACGCCAUGGUUGGCUACUACUCUAUCGACCAAAAGAGGCCGCCGGUAGCCGAGGUCGCCGUCGCACGAUCGCGACGUCGCCGUCACGCUGCAGCGGCGGCGCGGUUGGGUCCACGUGGCGCGCACCGCGGGCGCUGGCGGUGCAAAUGGGGCUCAUCAUCCUGAGGUGGCCGUGGCCUCACUCCCCCCGUCACCGGCCGGGCGAAACCUAAUCCUCCUCCUGCCUGAAUCGGGUCGCAUUCGGGGAAUGUCUUCCGGCCGGCCGCUAAUUCCGUGGCGUAAUCAUGCCUUUUUGCAUUAGCCGGGUUUGCUUUUUGCGCAUUGGGCGGUGACUCAUGCCAUCAUCCUGAAUCUUUGCUAUAAAACCCAUGCACCGGGUGUUACUUGGACCAAGAGCCUGCAGCCUGGUCUCUGCUCUUGGUUUGGCUGCCGCAUUGGCACACAUCCAGGUAGUGGCAGUUCUGUCUCGGAUAGACAUUUUCUUCUUUUGACUCUGGCUUCUCUCUUCCUUUGGUCCUGAAACGGGUUAGGAUGGUGACCUGAAAUGAAUCUCACUCAUGGUUUGUUCACACGUGCGUGCAACUCAGUCUUGAAUGAUGCCUGCAGAGGCUGCGGCACCUCGGUGAAACCUGAGCUACCUGAUGAGCAACAUUGCUCCGAUGGCCUCGCGGGCGCUCGCCGCGUGGCGGCAGCUCAUCAUGCUCCUCGCUCUCCUCUUCCUCGACGCCGCCGUCGCGAGGCAGUGCUUCUGGCCGGGGCAGGCGCCCGAUGACGCCGGGUGCCUGAGCUGGCGCGUCAUGGUGGAGGCCAACAACGCCCGGGGCUGGCGCACGGUGCCCGCGCAGUGCGUCGGCUACGUCAAGGGGUACAUGACCCGGGGCCAGUACCUCAGGGACCUGGCCGGCGUCAUGGAGCAGGCCUCCGACUACGCCGACCAGGUCGACGCCGGCGCCGACGGCCUCGACGCCUGGGUCUUCGACAUCGACGACACCUGCCUCUCCAACCUGCCCUACUACGAGACCAAGCAGUUCGGGUACGCACGACGCACUCCCCUGUCCAGGCAUCUCGAUCGCUACCGAUCAGAUGAUGAUUCGGUCUCCUUCCUUUUCCAGGGCGUACGACCCGUCGGCCUUCAAGGCGUGGGCGAGCAAGGAGGCCUGCCCGGGGAUCCCGCCGGUGCUCGGGCUGUUCACGGCGCUGCUGGACAAGGGCUUCAAGGUCUUCCUCCUCUCCGGGAGGGACGAGGAGACCCUGGGCCCGUGCACGACCGGGAACCUGGAAGCGGAGGGCUUCUCCGGGUACGAGAGGCUCAUCAUGCGGUACGAGCGAGCACGCAGCUUCCCUGUUCGGUUCCCACUGUCCGAGUGUGCGAACUUUGGCACCGUUAGUGCGUCAGUGACGUGGACGGCUGAACAUUCAGAUUCACUGCCAAAUAGGAAAAGGCUGGACGGUCCUCCCUUUGCGAGCAAACCAGUCACGAUCCCUAUCCCGAAAUUGCCGUCGAGAACGUCAUCCGGAUUUCUUUUCUUCAAUUUGCGCUCACAAUUUGCUUUUACUGAAAUGGCAUGACUCGUGACGGCUUGCAGGACUCCGGAGUACCGCGGGCAGAGCUCGUCGGUGUUCAAGUCGGCGAUGAGGAAGCAGCUCGUCGACGAAGGCUACAGGAUCCGCGGCAACGUCGGGGACCAGUGGAGCGACCUGCAGGGCGACUGCGUCGGCGACCGCGUGUUCAAGAUACCCAACCCCAUGUACUUCGUCCCCUGAAGGAAAAUUUCUGCCUCGACAUGCCUGACCGAUUUCAUCAGGAUCAAAGGUUGAGCGUACAAGCUAUGUGGAGAAAAAAACGUGAUGUAAACGCAUGGCCAAUGUGGAAGAAGCACAGGCCGUAAAACAAAUGCAAACAAAAAAAAACAAGAUGAAAAACCCUCUUCUUUCACUCCAAUGUCUGAAUCACUGAAUGUGCUCGUAACAAGCAAGUCAAACUGAACAAUCCCCUGGCGAAGCAGUAGGCUGCAGUGCGGAUCCAAUCGCUCAAGACGAGGCGAGGCAAAUUUGGCCAAGUUCUUGCCGGCGAGGCGCCCCCGGCGCGUCCGUGCUGCCGUGCGCCGCAACCCCGCUAGCAGUUCACAUCGACAGGCACGGCGAUCGACCACGACUGCCGGGGCGUGCCGGACCCGAAGAUCCGCAUCUUCGACGUGGGCCAGAAGCGGCGCGGCGUGGGUGAAGGAGAACGUCUCCAGCGAGGCCCUGGAGGCGGCCGGCCCGGAUCGCGUGCAACAAGUACAUGGCCAAGCAACGCGGGCAGGGAGCCAGGGACGCCUUGUUCCACCUCCUGGUGCGGGCGCAGCCCUUCCACGUCCUCCGCAUCAACAGGAUGCUCUCCUGCGCGGGCGCCGACCGCCUGCAGACCGGGAUGCGCGGCGCCUUCGGCAAGCCCACGGGCACCUGCGCCCGGGGUCAGCAUCGGGCAGGUACUCCUCUCCGCGCGGUGCCGCGACGCGCACGCGCCCCAGGCGCACGAGGCGCUCCGCAGGGGAUUGGAGCAAUGGUCCAUGACGUUGCACACCAGUGCCCUAUAUCGAUCUUUGAAUAAAUAGUUGUAUUGAUGAGACACACAUGACAUACACGAUCACUUCUACGAAUCAAUCAAGCUAAUGGUUCUCGGAUGGAAACAUGAUAUCGUAGCGACGAGCUGUGCGAGACUCACUAAGAAGUGUAGAAUCACACGGAAAAUGAGAGAGUGGAUAUCACCUUAGAAAAGUUGGUGGUCUUAUACCCCUUGCACCGAAUUCGUCUUUAGAGUGCGUGUUACUUCCUUUAUUCACGAAUUCAAACAUGACAUCCACAUGUCCUUAUUACCUUACCUAAUUUUUUUUUAAAAAGAAUGUCAUUCCUUUUCUUUUAUCAAAGUUUCAUUUUCUAUAUCUCUCUAGUCUCACUCAUUUUUGCUAGAUUUUAUCAAAAGAUUUCACAAAAAGUUUUUAUGGGAUAGUUUCCACAAAAUUCCUUUAAAUUUUUUUCCUAAAGAUAUUUCUGAAUUGUUAUUGCAAACUCUUUGAAAAAGUUUCUAUAUAUUUUAUAAUUUCUUUAAAAAAGCUGUAAAAUCUUUUGAAAGAUCCUGAUGAGUGAUGAGAUUUUUUUUGAAUUUUUGUGCUUAAUGUUUUGGACGAAACUUGUAGGGGUGGUGGGAAAAGAUAGAGCCACUAGGGGCAUGGCCUUAGGUGUGGGUCGGUGCUUUCUAUAAUGUAGUCUAGCUAGUUCAAUCCUUUUAUUGAGUGGUUUUAGGUCUAGAUGUGUCAACCUCCACCCAUAAUCAGGGGUGGUUCCAGGACUCGAGCUGGGGGGUCGGGACCCGUGCAGAUUAUCCCCUUAGGACAGUUAAAUUUCUAUGAUCAGAAAAAAGGUCCAGCAGCCUAGUUCAUCCACGGACCACUCGGGACUUGGUCAAUUUCUAGGUACGCCACCGCUCCUAAUUGAUAUUAUUCAUGGAAGGAGAAGAAAACAACAUGCAACGAGUGUUCUUCGAAAAGCUUCGUUUCACUUAUUCUAGCAUUUUAUCUCGCUCCUUUCUCACCUGAAUUUGUGGCAAUCCGAUCUAUGCUAACAUCCAUGCAUGUUGUUAGGUUAGUGUACUACCAAUGAGUAAUGACACAUGCAUAUUUUGGAUCAUUUGCGGUAGUUACUGCUGUAAAUUAAAAUCAGGGGAGGGGUUUUAGAGUCAACAGAUACUCUAGAUCAAACUUAAGCCAUAGGUUUUCUAUCUAACGAUUGCGUAAUUCUUUGUGACAACCCUUCGAUAUCCCCAUCUAUUCUUGUUUUGGGUGAGCUUUUCGAAAAAAAAAAUGUUUGGGUGCACACAGGAUGGAUUGGGCCGGGCUGAUGACGAGCGACGACGACGAUUGGCGACCGUCGCACCUGUGUGAGACCACAGACACAGAGGAUCACCUCGGGCUCCGGCCUCCACACCGCUGCCGGCUAGCAGUCGGCUUCGUCCCCUUCCUCCCCUUUCUUAAACCUUCCGUACCCACUCGUCGGGGCUUCGCUCGUCUCCAGAGAUUUCGCCUGAAGAGAAGAAACCCACGAGGGAUCCGCAGAUGAAGAUAAUUCCGGUACCUUGCCUGGAGGACAACUAUGCCUACCUGUACGAAUCGGCCUCUGCGUCGCUUGUUUGCCCCUUUCCUUCAGCGAUUCGUUUGGAGUCAUUGAGUUUGAGUUCCUGAUCUGCUAUUUGUUUUAAUUCCUUUCCAAGAAUCGUGGACGAGAGCACCAAGAAGGCGGCGGCCGUUGACCCGGUGGAGCCGGAGAAGGUUCUCAAGGCUGCCAGCGAGGUCGGCGCCUACGUCGACUGCGUCCUCACCACCCACCACCACUGGUAUACCAUCGUCUCCUUCCAGCUCUCUUUGGGUUCAGUACUUGCUAGUGUUAGAGCAUCCUGAUUCUUGCUUGCUAGAGUUGUUGAACAUCAUCUUAUUACCAUAUUAGAGUUGGGGUCACAAAAGGGCUUCAUAUGUAGGCAUUUAUUACUAGCUAAUAGAUCCGGUUAGUGCCAGGGAUUGGUCCAGUCACAAACACUCAAUUAAUCCAGUUAUUACAUAAUUGCUGUAAGGGUUUGUGAGUGACUACAGAUAUGCACAUAGGAAUUCAAUAGAUGGACCUUCCCAACUUGCGAUUUUGCUAUUCUCUGAGUCUAAUUGCUACAUGGACCGUGGAAGUAGAAAACUAUUGUGUAAUACAUACCGUGUUGAAUGUUGUUUGCUGGUAAUGAAGUUCACAAAGUAUUUGCUAUUGCUAAAACGUCCUUGCAAAAAAAAACAAAGAAAGAAAGAAAGAAAAAAGGAAAGUAAGGUCUCAGGGAAUAUGCAGCUAGCAGCUUCUUGUUCACUAUGCUAUGUUGAAGAAUGCAAUUUUAAGGAAUGAAGAAACCAGCUUCCAGUCAGGAAAUGCGGUUGAUUAUGCAAUGGAAGUGCUUGACGUAUGUGAUGUGUUCUUGGGCUUAGUUGUUUUCCAUUCUUAGAGUAGUCUAUUUUCACUCUAAAUUUGCAACAUGCUGUUUAGACUGCUGGGGAGUAGGCUUUCUCAUCACUCAUCUGUGAUGUAACAUCUAGUGUGAAGUGUACUUAUGUGAUGCUUUCACCUCUUCAAUGGAAUGGGGGAUUUCUCCUGCUCCACUUCUAAAAAGUGCAAAUCGACUACAAUGUCAAAUAGGUAGUCAAAAAGGUCUAUGCUUUAAAAAUAAUUAUCGUGUGGCAGAAAGUACUCUGCGUGAACCAAAAAUGAACAGGUGUUGGUGAACUUCAUGGCAAUUUUCUACUAUAUUAUUAAUGGAUCGUGCAACUGAUUUUGUGCUUCUAGGGAUCAUGCUGGUGGCAAUGAGAAGAUGAGACUGCAGGUGCCAGGGAUAAAGGUCUAUGGAGGAUCCCUGGACAAUGUGAAAGGCUGCACUGAUCAGGUGGAGAAUGGAACAAAGUUGUCACUUGGGAAUGACAUUGAGAUACUAUGCCUACACACUCCUUGGUAUGCGAUUAACUAUGCUAUUCUCUUGGCCUAUUUCACUUCCCUAGCGUGCUUUUUUUUUCAGUACCAUAGAAACAGUCACUUCUUGAGUAAGGCUGAUUUAUUUACAAAAUUCAAACUACCAAAUAAGAGUCCUUUGAAAUUAUGAAUUUAGUAUAAUAUACAGCUCCUAGUUCACUUUAGAAAAAUUUAUAACUUUCUCCUUUUGAGGCUCUUUUAUAUCCAAGGAACCUGCAUCAAGGAGCGGCACAUACACGCUAUUAGUGUUACUUAAAAGACUUAGCUGAGCUCUGAUAAAUCCUCACGUGAAUUAUGCAUGGGAGUUUUAUUUGUGUUUGCUUAGUAGAAGCUUUUUGAUAAUUUUUUUUCUGGUCCCUGCCGUUUUGUUUCUUCAACAGUCACACAAAAGGUCAUAUUAGCUACUAUGCUACUAGUAAAGAGGGGGAAGAUCCAGUGGUCUUCACUGGAGACACUUUGGUUAGUAUAUGCACCUGACUUACUCUGAUGUCUCCUUUCAUCUUUAUAUCCUAACCUUUUUAUAAAUAAACACAGUUCAUUGCUGGUUGUGGGAGGUUUUUUGAGGGUACUGCAGAGCAAAUGUAUCAGUCCCUUAUUGUUACAUUGGGCUCGCUGCCAAAGUCAACUCAGGUUUACUGUGGGCAUGAGGUAUGAUCUCUUGUUUUCAUACCGGAUUCUUCCUGUCAUCCCAUAAUGCUAGGCUUUCAUCCUGGAGGAACCUGAAUGUCAUUGAAUCUGUAUUGUAUAUAAAUAACUAUGUUGUUCCUUUACCAUUUAGUAUGGAAUAUUUUAUUAUCAAUGACCGAAGGGCAUGUACAGUUUUACUUUGCAUUUUCUGGUUUGUUCUCUUAGGAAUAGGUAGUUUCUAGAUUGUCCAAUGAUUUAUCAGAUGUCUUCUAUAAUUGGUUGAAUGCCUUUUUAAUGCAUUUGUGUUCCCCAGAAUGGAAUCCAGUAGCAAUGGGAUAAUAUGAUGGAUUUAUGUUUUCUUGUGCCUCCUUUUGUUCCCUCUAAUAGAGGAGAAUUAUAGAUAUGUAGCAUAUACGUUCAUUUGUUGCUGGGCUCUUUGCUUUUCCAUUUCAUGUGCUAUCUUGAUAACAGAUGAUUUACAUGUGAGCUACUUGUUCAUGUUCUUUGUUAUUCCCAUUGUUGAAUUUCGACUUCCUUUUGAACUUCACUUGUAAAAGAUGCUGGAAACUUGAGUGAAAACAUGCAUCAUAACAGCCUUAACAAGAAGACAAUAACCACCAAUAUUCGAUCAUUUUGGUUUAUUUUCUUAAUAUGGUAUACUAAUUGGCUUGGUCGUAGAUACAUACUAUUUUCUUAGCAGUUGCAUGUUGACUUGCAGUACACUGUGAAGAGCCUAAAAUUCAUGCUGACACUCGAGCCGGAGAAUGAGAAGAUGAAACAGAAACUGGAAUGGGCUGAAAAGCAGCGUGAAGCAAAUCAGCCUACAGUCCCUUCAACUAUAGGAGAUGAGUUUGAGAUCAAUACCUUCAUGCGCGUUGAUCUACCAGAAAUACAGGUGAAUUUGCUAAUUGAAAAGCACUCAUUUUCUUGCAUUACUCUCCACGUCCAUGCACAGAAAUGGGUAACAUCGUGUAAAGUUGAAGAACACUUAGAAACUUAAUUCUCUUGCCAAUCCUAACUACUAGCAUUAGGAGUAAAAGAUUUUUGUUUGGAACAACUUCAUUUGGCAUGCCGGACAUUGGAGAUAGUAGCUUUACGUUUCUUUAAUUUAAAUGGAUGGUCUUUUAGUUUGCGAAUUGGUUUUUGAGUCGUCUUUGUAUCUUUUUUAAAAAAAAAUUUGUGGGUGUAGCAACGUGCUACUAUCUGUAAUAGUAGUGGACUGAUUCUCUUCUUUGAGGAGGUUGAAGCCGGAAUAUUAUCCAUUAUCUAAAAAAAAAUGAUUUUGCAGGCCAAGUUCGGUGCCAAGUCUCCGGUUGAAGCGCUGAGAGAGGUCAGGAAGAUCAAGGAUAACUGGAAAGGUUGAUACCCAUGCGGCCAUGCGGUUGCCACCACUCUGUUGGACGGCCAGCCUCUCAAAGUGAGCUAAUGCAGAAACCUUUGCCCUGUAGGUGGGAAUGAGAUUUACUGCCGUGCAAUGCUUUGACAGGUAUGGCGUGGGGAUGGAGAAGACUUGUAAUAAGCUCCGUGUUAAUAAAAACAAUAAUCAUGUUUCCCUUGUAACUCGUGGACUGUUUGCCAAGAGUAAUGCAUGAACUAUGUUACACUUUGACCUGCCCCUCUGCCAAACUUGAAAAAUCUGAAAGUUCUCUGAUGGGUAUAACUUGCCUACAUUACAUUUGAAGUUUAUGGAUCGCUGAUCAGUAGUGUGUUAAUCCAUUGCAAAAUGAAAUAUGGUAGCUAAAUCAUCAAAUUAUUAUGUAUCUUUCUUCAACUUGAAGACACAAGAUUCUGAUCGACAGAGACACGGAUGACAUAGGACGGCAACUACAGCCUACAGGUGACUUUUCAUUCACGAAAUUUUCUUCUUGCCGGCAGCAUUCGACGACGUCGAAGGCUUCGACUUCAGCUUGAACGGCUGCGCAGAAGAGCCGGCGAACUGGCCGAAGCCCAGCCGGCCGGGGACCAGCUUGGGCGGCGCGAACGGGCCGCACGCGGCGGCGGCCGCCGAUGGCUCGCUCGCGCCUCUCUUCUGCCCGGUCUCGGCCGCCGUCGCCGCGCCAACCCUCGCCCCGUCGGCAGCCCUGGUCGCCUGCCCCUGCCCAUCCUUUCUUGCGCUCUCCUCGCGCUCGCCUUCGCCGAACAUUUUCUUGGCCCUUUCCAAGAACGCGGCGGGCGUGCCCAUGAGCACGAAGAGCUUGAGCACCUCGUCCGUCUCCAGCUUGCACUCGGGCGCCGCCGCCGCCAGGUCGGCAGCCGACGGCGGUCGCGCUGGGGUCGCCUCCGGGGCGGCGGCGGCGGCUGCGCCCAGGGGACGCGGCGUCGGCGGGAGGAAGCCGGCGCCGGGAGCGAAGCCGUUCCAGCAUUGCGGCACGUGGCUGUGCCUGGCGCGCGCGACGCACUCGAGCGUCCUGAACUCGGCGGCCACGCGCGCCUUGAGCCCCGCGUGCCGCACGAACCCGUGCAGGCUGUUGCGAUACGUGUGCUCCUGCGGCAGCUGAACAAUUUGCAACAAGCUCACGUAGGUUUGGAUUUGAAUUUGAAUUUGAUCAUGAGAAGUUGUGAUCAUAAAAGUCACCCAUAUUCUCAACUACGAUUAAACAAGAGAAUAUAUGGCGAACUGAGCGUAGCUCAGCUGGUACUUGUGGUGGAACCUGACCAUCAGGGUUCGAGUGCUCGACUCAGCACUGAUGCUCGUAUAUUUCUGGAUUUAUUUCAGGAUUUAACCGGCGCUAUUCUUUCAGUGGUAGGCGGCAGCGACAGCGAGGCGCUAGUGGUGACUUUAUCAAUCUCGAGGAUUUGUCGGCUCAGUCUUUCGAAGGUGGUCAUAAGGGUAGGGUUGCGUGCGUGUAUGUGAGUAUCUGCAUCUGUAAUGCGUGAUCCGAAAAAAAAAUAUAUGAACUCAUUUGGAACACAGGUGAUCGAGCGGGUCUUACACUAUUGAAGGUAACGUGCCGGCCUUGGAAGACAGGCCUCGCCAUGGUUCGCCAGCCUUGAUCGGCGCCAGCACCUUCAUUGUACGUGAGCCUCCUUCGCGCCACCACGCUGGCGCCGGCAGCGCCCGCCGUCGUUGCUGCAUCUCCGGCGAACUACGUCUCAGCUUACAUUUAAACGUUCUGAAACAGCGCUGGCUUACGCCUUCAUACCUUUUCUCGCCUUCUUUCCCGGCGCCGUGCCCUUGCUCUCCUUGGCGCCUCGCUGCCUUGCUCUCUGGUUCUCCGGGGUGUUGCCGCCGGCGCCGGCGCUAGCGUUCUCCUGCUUCUUCGUCUCGGCGGCGCUCUUCUUCCUCGGCGUGGUGGCGGGCAGCUGCGAUGGCGUAGCAGCUGCGUGGCGUGGUGGACCCCUGUUGCCCACCUCUCUUCCCUCCGGCGUGAUCGGCUGCUGCAGCUGGUCUAGGUACCUCUUGCGCCAUGCCGCGAGCUCCGUCUCCGAGAACAUCUGGUUGUUCUUCAGGGACAUGAACACUUGCUUGGCUUGAUCUAGCAGUGACAUCGCCUGCACAGAUCCAAGGAAACAUUGCUCCUGGAUUAAUACAAUGUGAAGGCAAAUGAUAACCUUUGUUGCCGUGCAUUGAUGCAUACCUCUCUGAAAGGCACGGUGUUCUGGCUGUUCAUCGUUAUUGCUCUCUGGAACACCAUGUAAACAUCGUUCUGCGAUCGUAUAGAGAAUGAAGAUCAUGAACAAUCCAAGGAUGGAACAUAAAACUGUAAAACAAAGGACAAAGAGGGUCAAGUGCGCUAAGAAACUGACCUCAAAUUGCUCUAGUGCCGUGUACAUGCCAUCUUUGUUCUUCUGCCUCAGUGUAGCAAAGUCACCGGGCCUGCUCACUCUCUCUGCAUAGUCAGUCACCUGCACUAACAUGUCGAUGUUUCAGUCUGUCGCAUGAAACAAGAAACAGGUGCAUUAAAAAAAAAAAGAGUUUCAGCCUUUCGAUCUAUCUACACAAAUAAUUCAGAUGCAUCGCAUCAUUUCUCGCCUGGAUGUCAUCUGGCAUCGCAAACAACUCAUGCCGAUCUCUCCUGCAAAGAGAUUAAGAUACAUGCACAUAUAUAUAAAUCUCAAUAUGUAACAGGAAACAAGGUGACGCCUGAUGGACAAGCAAAAAGAAGAGAGAGCGCAAAGCUUACAGCUCCAAUUCGUCAAGGAUAUACUCGAUGAUUUGCCCAACUGAGCUUUGGCUUGUUGAGUUAUCUGGAAUGAAACCAAAAGACAUUCACAUGUCUCCUACAAUCAGCCCGGCAAUACUGAGGUAACAAAAGAAAAAAAAACAACGUACUGCUCUUCGCUGCAUCUAAUGGUUGUUGGUGGCUACAUGAGGCUUCUCCCUGCAACUGCUGAAAAAUCACCCGGCAGAUGAGAACCAGGAAAAGGACAUAUGAAGAGAGCUGGAAGCACCCAAUGGCUUCACAAUUUACCUGGGUUUCUUCAUUCCUUUUUCUCUUCCCUCGCGCGCUCGAACCGGAAAUGCUGUUCCGGAUUAUUUGCCAAGGAUCAAGGAGGCAGACGCCGGCGGAGUCGCCGUCGUUCUUCUCCUCUUCCAGCUUCAACAAUCUAGCGCUUCGCCUCUUCCCUUUUCCAGACAUCUCCGGUACCUGUUCUUCUUCCUCGCUGCUUUGAACAAAAACAAGGGACGGAGAGGCUGUGUUGAUGGCAAUGCAUCUGCAUUAAGCUUCCGUGCUCUUAUGUUGCAAGACAGAGAAGGUUUCAAUUUUACAGCUGGUAGCUCGUGUGUGUGAGUUUUCAUCCUCAGAUGGAAACUUUUACUGGACAAAAGAGGCAACGGAAUGCCAUGAUAUUCUAGGUCUUUUAAGGCCUGCAGUUUUGGAAUGACAGAUUAUAGAUAGGAGGAAUGCAGCAAAAGCUGUGAGGAGUGAUGACCCGGAGCUGAAUGUGAGGAGUAUCCCAAAUAUUAACUUUGGAUCACAAGACUAUUUCGAGCAUGGUUGUAAGGGCAAGCCCAACGCAAGCACACAAUACUAGUAGCCCCAUGAAAAAGUUGUAUUCCACAUAAGCACUGAAAUUUUAAGAUCUUCAAGCACCCAAUGCAGGCCACUCUUACUUUUUCUACCAUGACCCUACUCAUCUUGUUUCUCUCCUCCCAAGUUAGCUUUUUCUCGGUGCUUUUCCUCUCUCACAACAGCCACAGCGAUUGCUUUUUAAUCCCAAGCCACUGCACCUUCUGCAGGGUGCACUGACAGACUGCAAGCGCCCAAACCGUUUGAGCUGGACAUUUGUGUCAGGCGGGUAAACUUGAGGCUACCAGCCACGUCGGAGCGUUGGGCCUGCUCUAAGAGCUUUUGUGAGCAUUUCUCUUGCACAGAAUUGGAAUCUUAGGAGAAGAUUAUUGGAUAGGCAAGAGUAGUGACUACACCAAGUAGCAUUCCAAUGCGUCAGGGUAAGAAACAGUUGGCCUCAUGGCCACAGUACAUGAACAGCUGUGCACUGAGGUGUUACGGCAGGUUAUGGUCUGGUUUAACUCGAAUUAAAUGGCCCUUAACCAUCAUGAAUCACCACCAUUUCACUUGCUAGAUACAAUGCACAGGUUGCGUGAUACUGCGCCGGGGUUCUACGUAGCAUAGUUGCCAUCUGUAGGUAUUCUAAUUUGUUGCGAUGCUGACUUGCAGCUUUUGCUGGGUGCAAGAGGAAUGAACUUGCACACGUUUGCAAAUCCAAAUAGAGCACAAUCUGCUAGAGGGGGGAAAGGAACUGUAACAAUGUCUAUUUGUAUAGGCAUGUGGAAGCCAAGCUUGAGAAACUGGAAACAUGAACAAUACCAGAACAGGAAGGUAACAACGACCAGCCUGGCUGUCGGCGGUAUAACAGCCAAAGUUGCUACUAGGGUGUUUGAAUUUGACUGCAUGACAAGCAAACAUUUCCCACAAUCCAAACGCCACCUUACGAGAAAUUACUUUUUUUUUUGGGCACGCAUGUUGUAGUAGCAAGAAACGAUAUUAUAACUGCAACACGUGUACACAGUAACAUCAUCUAUACCAAAAUGGUAACUGAGCUGAGACAACUAAAUAUUUACUAGGCUUAUUCCUUGUGAUACAGAAAUGUUACAUUGCCAUGAAAAAACUGUAGGGAUUGUCUAUAUAAUCCCAAAGGAGAAAUGUUAAUCGCCCAGGCUAUCUUGGAGUGGAUCUCUCUCUCCUAAACUGUAAGUUUAUGUCCUCGCAUAUCUAAAAUCCUACUCCAUUUACAAGGCGCAGAUAAGUUGAAACCUGCACCCUCUCAGUUGUGAAUCUGUUUCCCCUUGCAAAAAGGAAAGUUAUACACCGGCAAUCAAACCUGCAGGGUAACUGCUGCAGGGUCAACAGCAUCACUGUUGUUCUGUUGGAACCACAAUUCUGCGUAACGCCCACCCUUUGAAAGAAGAACGUCAUGUGGUCCUUGUUCUACUACCUUCCCAUUCUCCAAAACAAUUAUCUGAAAAUUCAAAUUUGUAACAGGACUCAUCAACAUAUCAGAGAAAAGAUGAAACCAACAACCAUUCACCACUCUAGAGUGCACUGGAAGGUUUUGAAAUUCAAAUAUAUGGUCUGGAAAACUUGAACAGGACUCAUCAAAAUAUCAGAGAAAAGAUGAGACCAACAAGCAUUGCACAACUCUACGUGCACUGGGAGGCUGCAAAAUAGAUGAGUUCGACGAAUACUGAGGUUUCUUUGAGAAGUUGCAAAAGCAUACCUGAUCACACUGCAUUGCAGUUGUGAGUCGAUGAGCAAUAAAGAUUGAUGUUCGGUCAACAGAUAACGACUUCAGAGAAUUCAAAAUUGAGGCUUCAGUAGUGCUAUCAAGAGCACUUGUUGCUUCAUCACAUAACCUGACAUAGUUCAGAAGAAAAAAUAUCAAGACAAAAGGGCAUCGAAUAAGCCUAUUAUUUGUAAAAACGUUUACUAUGAGUAAUCUGAAAUUAGUUUAAAUACAUUCAGCAGGGCCAACUUUGACAUAGCACGCGACUAUGUGAGCUCUCACAAAAGCACAUAAACAGAGGUCAUAACUGAGUGGCUACCUUAAACACAUUCCUCAAGUCAUUGAGAUCCAAAUGAAAAAAGGAGUAACGAAAAGCAAGGGGUACUCACAGAAUGGAGGGCUCCUUCAAGAAUACGCGAGCUAUCGACACUCGUUGUUUCUCCCCACCACUUAGCUGCAACAAGAAAACCACAAUUUAUUAGAUAUUUUGUCUGUAGAACAACAGCUUACACCAUUUCUUCAUCUGGCACAUUACAAUAUACUGUCUCACCUUCAAUCCUCGUUCUCCUACUACUGUGUCAUACUUGUCUGGGAAGUUCAUAAUUGUAUCAUGAAUAGCAGCACGUCGGGCAGCAUCAUAGACCUGUAUGGAAACAAACUGUAACAUUCCAAAACAAAACAUAUAAUCAUGCUAUAUGCACUUCAGAAUGUCUUGGAAGAAAAUAGGUACCUCCUCAUCUUUUGCUGAUAAACGUCCAUACUGUAUAUUAUGCUUAAUCGUGUCGUUAAAAAGUACCUGCAUUCAUGUUUAUAAUGUGAGAUUGGCUAGUUGGCUGGCCUUGUAACAGUGAUAAUUAGCAUAUGUUAACAUGAAUAUACUAUAGACACAAUUCCCUGAAAAUGUGUUAAAUAGAAAACCCUCAAUAUAGCUAGUGAUCCACUACGUUGAAGAAAGAUGCAUAAGGACACCAGAAAAUUAUUCAGUGACUAUUGCAUUUCUCUUGUACUAAAUAAAUCCACAAUCCAGAAUUCCAGUAAUGUAGCUUUACUAUUUUUUUCUCUAACUAAAUUGGAGUAUUGGACUAAUUGUUUGAAUGUAAAAAAAAUAAUCAAAAGAUGUUCACAAAUGAUAGUUAGCAGAAGCCAGAUUAUACAACAGAACUUGAAGAAAUGCAAAUGCCCACAUUCCUCUAUAGUUUGAAAACUGCAGCAUUGACAAAUGUAUAUCAGAAGGCUUUACCGUGUCCUGAGGUACAACACCAAGAUGUUUUCGAAGGCUCUCUAGUGUCACUCCUCGGAUAUCUUGCCCAUCAAUUCGUAUCUGCCAGCAGAAAAAAUCACAUGAAUAAACCAUGAGAUGGGCAUCGGUUAGAUUAACAUGAAAUUAGAAAGGAGAUUGAUGCUUCUAUAUCCUUACAGAUCCUGAAGUUGAAUCAAAAAAUCUGAACAGAAGCCUAAGAAUAGUUGAUUUCCCUGCAUAAGAAAGGUGCAGUUAAGGAACCCCUGAGUGAUGCUCAUAAAGAACACAAAUUCACUAACAGAAGUUCUAAGACCCCACACUAAAGCACAAAACAAGAUAUUCCCAUUAUUACACAAAACAAUUCACCGCUACCAGUUGUUAAUCACUGUCGACAAGAUUUAUGAUAGAAAUCUCAAACAGAUAAAAUAUAGAACCAUGCCAGUUGAUUAUUAACUAACAGUAGUUAGGUAUCAAAAUGGACAUUGGUUUCAACAUCGUUUUAGAGAAGAAGCUUAGCUAUAACUUGCUGAACACUAGCUGGGAGUUGCUAGUUUUGGCAGUGAGCAUAUAGAGAAGAUAGACCAAGCACGAACCAAAAAUAUGUGCACAUCCCCAAUGUUAGUAACAUGCAUCAACUGCUGGAAACCCCCGUGCCCUUCACCAUGAACACAAGGGGUGGACGAACCAGUAUUAGUCAAUGCUUAGUUUAUACUGUGUCAUGUCCAGCCCAUUUGGGCCCAUGUGAUGGAUGAAGCAGCAGCAGACCUCCCUAGGGCUGGCGCACUGUUCACUACAUAACUGUUCAGGGUGGGUUUGUUGCAUUAGAGAUUAGAUGAGAUCAGAUUGAGUUGUUAUCAUGACAUACUGUUUCAGUGCUGAUAAAAUAUAUGAAGACAUUUAUACUGGACAGUUCUGGUAAUCCAAAAAGAGGUCCAGUUUGUGGUUGACUUGUGUUUAACAUUUGAAGAUGUUAAAAAGAUGGAAAAUACUGUAGUUUAAUUGGAAAGUAAAAUAAUGUUAGCUAAUUCUGCGGCCCAACUAUUGUAUGUCAUAAUUGUCUUGUAGUUUGACAAACAACAUCGCCAUUUGCAACUUAGAUUAGAAGCAAAAUAGUUGAUCCGAACACCAAAAUUUUGAAGAUUUCCAUCAAACAAGAUUAUCAUGAUCCACCUCAACACCAAGUGAAGUCUAAUAAAUACUAUCUUUUGUGGCCAACUAUGAAUAUUAUAACCCAAAAUCACAUCAACUCAAUACCAGAACUCCUGUGCAACAGUAGCAGCAAACUAACGAGUUCAUUAAGAAAAUAAAAACAGGGUUCUCGGCUCUAGGUAUAACGUGAACAUAUCUUAAGCAAUAGAAACCUUCAAAUUUUGUUCGGUCACAAAAGCAUUAGGUAUUUUUUGAUAAAUAAAAAAGAUAGUUUACCACUGCCACUAGUUCCGACAAUGGCAAUGCUCUGUCCUGCAGGUACAGUGAAGGUGGCACCAUCAAGAAUCUUCCUUUCUGGUACAUACCUGGAAGAAAUCAAAUCAUUCACUGAAUCAUAUAUAAAUACAUCACUAUGUCAGUUUACUCUAGUUUACAGCAUAUACAAAACAGGAAAACACCUUCAAUGGGUAUCUCAAUAUUCUAUCUAAAUUAUUAUUGCUAGUUAUAAUACAAUACAAGUCUACAACACACAUGAAAAAUAACUUGUUUCUGGUAAAUUAGAAACUAAAGUUUGUAGGUUGUGUGUGCACUAAUAUGUUCUUGUAUUGACAUCUGCCUAUCUGAUAAAUGAUAUUUACUAAGAUGACUUAUGCAAAGGACUUUGUUAGAAACAAACAGGUGACAUUUCACAAGUUUGACCUUUUAAGUGACUACAACAGAGACUAUAAACAUAGGAAUAAAAAUAUUUAGCUCACCAAAUGGUAGUUUGAUCGCUAUAAUAUCAGGUGUCAAAUAGGUUUCAGCAAGGAAAUAUUCACUCACAGUAAUACUUCCAUAUUUUUCCAAAAAAAAGUAAUGGUUAGAAGAAAAUAAGUGCAUUGGUGCUAGUUGUUUGAGACUUGCAUAGUCUUUUUCAGAAAGAAUAUAAGCACUUUGCUACGCUCAACAAGUUAUUAAAGAACAAAACUUACCCAAAAUGAACAUUCUCGAAUUCAAUGCAUCCUCCCUUGAACUGCAAAGGUUGUGCAUGAGGCUCAUCCUUUAUUCCAGGUUUUUCCUAAGAAAAAUGAAACAACGAUUAGGAAGUAUCAGAGAGCAAUGUUUAAGAAUGAAACUAAAACUACAGGCCCUUAGACAUUCGACAAUUUAACUACCAAACUUUACCUCCAGCAACUGAAACAUAGACUUCAUGUCAAUGAGGCUUUGUCUAGAUUCUCGAUACACACUCCCAAGGAAGUUUAGAGGCAAUGAAAGCUGGAAUAGAAGUCCAUUAACCAUGACCUGCCAAGGAUUCACCACAUUAAUCAAAAGCAACUAGCAAAUGACUAGAGAUUAGUGUGUUCGAGGAAAAAAAGACUAGAGACAAAAUUGGCAACAACUGAAGCCAUAUAAAAUCAUGGUUCAAUUAAACAUUGGUUCUUGUUAAAAACAUAUUAAUAUAGCUCGUAAUUCAUUUUUAUUUAUCACAAUUUCAAAUCUUGCAGUCAUCCUGUGAUACGGAUGAGUUACUAACCAUACCAAAGUGUGAGACAUGAAAUGUCAACACUAGAUGAUAUAAGAAACAAACAGACAAUGGAUGGGAUAAAUAGUUACCAAAUCACCCACAGUAAGAGCACCACUCAUUACUCCAUAUGAGCUCAAAACCAUUGCUGUAGAUAAAGCCGAGCUAAAGAUAACAUUUUGACCAAAGUUCAGGUAGGCAAGGCUACUUUGGGUCUUCAAUGCAGCAUCCUCAUAAUCUGGCCACGUGGUAAUAAAAAUAGUUAAUAGAUCAGAUCCCUUAAACAAAAUCAACUUAUGAUGUGUGUCAGUGUUUAAGAACUUUUAAAAUAGUCUACAGAUCAUCUCUUUAACAAAAUAGUCAGCUGGGAUUCAUCAAAUCUAUGAAACAUAACUUAAUGUCCUAUUUAAGCACUUUUAAAACAAAUUCUACAUUCUGAACCCUUAGUUUUCAUGAAAAAGACCAAGUCAAUAAUUCAAUUAUAAUCCUUGUUACCUUUGGGGAGCACAUUCAACAUAUCAAGAUGCAAUUGAUUCACAUCAAUAAUUAUCCCCUUUGUAUCUCCCAAAUUCCCAAACUUUUGCAAACUAUUUUUUAGGGGACUUCUGUAAAAUAUUUUAGGGAAUGCUGAAAUUAAUGUUUGAAGGAACAUCUGGUUGUGCACAUCUACUCUACAAUGACAUUUCAACCAAGAAGAAAGACGUAUAUGCACUCACUCCUUAAAUAUUUGUCGUACUUCGCAACUUCAAAUUGUUCGUUGUUGAAGUACUUCACAGUCUGUACACAAUCAAAGAAAGAUCAAUAAUUUGUUACAACUAGAAUAAAGAAGGUAAAAUGGAGAAAACGGAGUAAUGGACAUGAGGUGACCUCAUAAUUCAGAAGAGAGUCAACUGCCACUGUACUGGAAGCAUUAUCAGCUUUAUUCAUGGCUGUCCUGAACUUAGUCCGCCACUAUAAUAAUAUUUAAAAAAACAAAAGGGGACCAGUGACAAACAGAGUAAAACAUAAUUAGACUUCACAUGACGACAUCAUUUGAAAGAUAAAUUGAACAGUUGAGACAACAAGGAUAUCUUGAGAGAUCCAAUGCUAUAGAAUUGUGUUUGCACCUGUGUGACAGCCAAAGUGAAAGCUAUAUAGGUAGCAACUGAAACUGAAGUAAUCCAAGCAAAAGUGGAACCAAACUUGUAAGCAAGUAUGCUUGACACCAUACCAAUCUGUAAAUGAGAACCAAAAUCACAAGGCUGAGGUAACAGAAAAGCCCAAAAAAUAAAUGCCAUAUAUUUCUGAAGUGAAACAAAAUCUCAGGCAAUAUGCAUAACUAAUGGACUGUACAUUUACACGAUAAUUUAUAAGUACCUCUAGUAUUGUGGGCACAACAUUGAACACCAUCACUGUGAGAAUGUAAUUUAUUGCACGGCUGCCUCGAUCAAUUAUGCGAUUUAGAGCACCAGUUUGCCGGCUAGAAACAAAGAAGCAGGUAAGAAGCAUAAGAAAAAUUUCAAAUAUUCUCCACCUCGUACAUAUCAACGCUAAAAAAUUUACUCCCUCCGGUCAUGAUAAAAUGACUUUAGGACAGCAAAACUAAACUCGCUCCGGUCAUGAUAACAUGACAAUAGGACAGUAAAACUAAACUCCUCUGGUCAUGAUAACAUGACUUUAGGACAGCAAAACUAAACUCCUCCGGUCAUGACAACAUGACGUUAGGACAGCAAAACUAAACUAAGUUUAGUUCAAUUUUGCUGUCCAAACAUCAUUUUAUCAUGAUUGGAGGGAGGGAGUAUAUAUAUAAUAAACAUUGCUGAAUUCUUAUGACUUGUUUCCACAGAUAUCUACCUAGUCCCUUCCUCACUGUGAGUAAAUGGGACUAUUGUUACGAAAAUAGUGCAGUCCACUCACUAGAGAUUUUGUCACUUCCAACAAACAUUGUCAAUUUCAUACUAGUAGUCAAGCAGUCAAGUUAUCUAAUUCUCUGAUGUUAUCUGCAUAACCCUCUACUUACUUUUGAGUUAUGAUGUUUUUCCAAAUAUACCACGAGUUAAAUAGAUGAUUUAUUCCUUACAGAGACUGAGAAAAUUAGUAGAAUGACCAUUUCCUACAAGUACCUUAGAUGAUAACGAAGAUCAAGCUCAUGCAAGUGAGAAAAUACCUGCAAUACCAAGAGAUCACGAAUUAAGGCAAUCAUAAUUUUAACAUUUAAUUAUUUGGUCCACAUCAAUAAUAGAAAAUAAUCAGACGUAUAUGAUGCCUGAGAUAGAUCAAAGGAUGCUGCUUCAAUUAUGUUUCUAACAUUUGGAAGUCUUCAAAACAUCUUCAUUUUUUCAACAUACAAGUAUCAGAACAAUAACAUGCUCAUCACUCAACCAACAACUGGAAGUAACAGUAGUUAUCCAUGAAUACGGAAAUAUAUAGGAGAACUCUGCAUAGCAAGAUACUUUGUUCCAGAAAAGAUUCAUAUUGCGUUGGAACAUCUGGGCAGUUACACACUACAGCAUGGAAAGAAAACAAUAAGUUCCAAUAUUUACCAUUCUGGAUACUGAACGGAUGGCUCUCAAGGUCACUUUAGAAAAUAAAGCAUUUCGCAGUUCUGGCAACAAAGAAAUGACCAUUUUAGGGACGGAAAAGGUAGUCAUUUGUGUUCCAAGAGGAGGAACAAAGAAGGGUAUCCAGGAAUGCUUGAGAAAGUGUUUACCUGUACAGGCCGACACUCCUGAUCGUGCAAUUCCAUAACCAAUCAACACAGCUGCUGGGCUUGCAAAGAGAGCCAAUAGGGUGGCGUUAGUUUCCGUGAACGAUGCCAGUGAGGCUUCAGCACCACCAAGGGCUGCAAGCCAAUCGAUAGCGAGCUUAAACAAGAAAGGCACUUGAACAUUUAUAACCUGGUGUUCAUAUCAAAUACAAAAGGUCGGGUAAGAAAGUUGAAAGUUUCAUGUAAUAACUUCCAUAUUUUUAGUUCAACCUGUUUUAUCUAUCCCGAUUAAAAGGGCACUGUUCUCCCUCUUAUUCCACAUCGAUGAUAUGUGGCAAUUGUGCCCUUGUUUGACUAUGAACCAAGCUGAAGUAAAGGAUUCGGUAAAAGGAAAGUUUGAGAUGCACAUCCAACAAAUGAACCGCAUCUUAUAAAUUACCAAAGUUACAUCACAAUAGGACAAAUGCUGAAGUAAGUCUUUUUCAUAAAGGAAAAGAAGUUUCAAUGUAGCGUGAGUAGUGAAAAUGCACCAGGAAAGCAAUGGGAAUAUUGAUCUUGAGCCUACAACAUGAUGGUCAAUGCUGACUUUUAUUAGAAAAGGCAGCCAAAUGGGUAGUUUGCUCAUUAAUGCCUCUGAUAAAAGAAACAAAAGGCUUCCUAAACAUGAGCAGUGCAAUAUCAAACCACAUAUGCCUUAAUGCAGGUUACCGUUUUCAAACAAGUACUCCCUCAGCUUUCAAAUAUAUGUCCACCUAGCCUUUCUUAUUCUUCUACAAACAUAAGUCCAAACCAUAGAUUCAUUUUAUCAUCAACCUUAAUCUGUGCAUAAGUCCACAGACUUACAUUUGAAUUGGAGGGAGUAGCUUUACCUUUGCACCAACUAAUAGGCCUAAUGACAACACAAGCCUGAAGCGGAAGUCAGGGCUGUCAUUCAACAAUAAGUACUUCCCAAGGUUUUUCAGUAUCUGAGAAUCUGCUAUCUGCUCAUCGACAUCCUUUUUUGAAGCAUCUUUCGGGACCUUGUCAACCGGCUUCCCAGCUGUCACAGCAUUGGCAGAUGUGGAGAAUGCAUGUACUCUCUGCAUAUAUAGCAAGAAUCACAAAAUAAGAAUUAGAAAAACAUUCCUUUUAUUUAGAAAGACAACAGAAAAAAAAACCAGCAAUUUGCCCCUUAGACCAACCGUGAGAAACUACAAAUUGUUUGGAUGGAAUUAAUACCGCGCAAAUAUAAAAUUAGGUGUGAUACUCCUUUUUCUCUGCAUGAAAUUUGCACUUGUUUAGUGCCUUGAUGGACUAAACACAAAUAUAUCAUCAUAAGCACCUCAAUACAGAUUACUUUAUAGAAGCAAAGCUGCUAAGGAAACACUAUUACUUUUUCCCUUUGUUUUACUACCAAUAUUUCACUUGUCACUAGGCCUACUUCAACAUAUGUAUUGUGCCUAGAGAAAAUGCUAACACCCACUACUGCCUCUAAACAUCCCAUAAUCCAACCAAUCACAAAUGUGGAAGUACAGAUUACCGUGUCUCGGGUAAGCCGCGCGCCGUGCGGCGGGUAGGUAGAGUCCGGCAGGAAGCUGCCGAGGCGGCCGAAGGGACCCCCAUUCCCGGGCGGGACACCACAGUUAGGUCCGAAUCCUCCGAGGAAAGGGCUGAAGAGAGGUUUCGGCACGCCCGGCCUGUUGGCUCCGUUCAGCCGCCGGAAUCCGGCGGCGGCAGGGGCGGCGGUCUGGGGGUUAAACCGGGAGCCGCGGAGGAGGUUCCCCGCCGCUAGUAUGCGGGACGAAGGCCGCAUGGCGCUUGCCGGCGGCGGCGGUGGCCGUGAUGGGUAGGGUCAGCGGACGAAAGCGUGGAGGCGGAGUUGGACUGCCAGUGGCGAAUAGGGUCUUUUCUUCCUCUUUUCUUUUGUUUUCCAAAUGGAGCUCAGUUAUUCCCAUUUAACACUUUUCCUUUUUCUUUUGCGUCAUGGUGUUUAAAACAGGACGAUUCAUUGUACCUAGUCAGAUUUGUGAUGUGAGUCAGAUUUUAGUACCAAAUGACCUUACUAUACUAGCCUUAAAAAGCUGGCAUUCAUAUGGUAUUUGUCCAAAUUCGAUGGUCCAGUUUACAUUGUAGUAGCUCUUGCAAAAAGUGAUGAGACUUUGACAAAUCAACUCCUUCGACAAAAUGCAUGUUCGCUUCAGCUUAUAAACCGGCUGAAAAGCUGAAAUAGCUGAUUUGUUGUGAGAGGAAAAUACUGUUUGAUGGCUGAUAAACUGGCUGGAUAAGCUGAAGCGAACAUACCCAUAGUGACCAUUCAUAGGGACAGAUUGAGAGCAAACGAAACAAGCACACUGUUCAUUUUUCUUUGACGAUAGCAAACAAUUGCACCUUUGCCAUAUUAGGAUAGAAAUAGCGUGUAUCCUAAGCGAUGCAAUUAUGGUUAAAUCAAGUAGCAUACAGCUUCCUCCGUUCCAAAUUUUAGAUCAUUUUAGUUUUUUUAGUUUCAUAAAUAUUAUUAUAUAUCUAGAUAUAAUGUAUGUCUAGGUGCAUAAUAAGAUCUAUAAAUCUAGAAAAGUAGAAAGGACUACGACGAGUUGGCAACGUGUAUAUAGCUUAGAUAAAAUGUGCACUACACAACAUGUGCAUAGCAAAAAUUAUAUUUAGAUAAUUUGAAACGAAGGAAAGUAUUAUUUAUAGGAUUUAACCGUAAUGAAUGCAUUUUUAGGAAUUGAUCAUAUCAAACGCCUAGGACAUACUCUCUCCGUUCCAGAAUAUAGCUACGUUUAGACUUUUUUCAAAUCAAAUAUUUUCAACUUUAACGACAAAUAGAGAAACAAUCAAAGAGACUAAUAGUAUAAAAAUUAUGUCAAAAAUUAUGUCAAUAGAUUUAUCAUGAAAUCAACUAUUAUAAUAUGUAAUUUUUUUAUUUGAAAUAAAUUAUUUUUAAAGGUAUUAUUGGUCAAAGUUAAAAAGAUUUAAUUUUUGAAAAAACUAAACGUAGGACGGAAUACAAAGCUCCAAAGCGCACCAGCCAAAAAAAAGUCACAACACAACGGCGUGACACGUUCGAACGAACCGUCGAACUCUGACUGCAACCAAUCACGGGCGUACAGGUCCAGUUGCAAGACGUAAGGAAUGGAACAGUGCAGAACGAAUAUUGGUCAGCCAGGACGAUUAAAAAAACAGAGAGAAAAGGGUAAUUUCAGCCGCUGACGUUCUAAACAAGUAAACAUUGCGCUCUGACUUUCACUUGGUCCCGGGCACGGGCAGACGGUUGCGCAGAAUUUGAGCCACAGCUUAGGUACUAUCUGUGUGGCAGCUACGGUCUGUUCGAGCCAUAGACGAAAGUUUCGUGCGGCGUAGCAUGCGGCAUGUCCAAUACCCUUUCGCUCCUCGCCACACAAAACGGCAGCUAUCCUAUCGAAUUCGAACCCAAAUACAAUAGCACCAAGCCCACUUGAGCAGCAAGCACGAUGAAUCUUCUACUGCCGGCCGUAUCUCACGUUUUGUUUUGUGCGACAACUACUCGCUCGUAUCAGCGAACCUUUUUUGGGGGGAGUGACUACCCAUCAUCCGGGUGAUUUAGGGGGUGUUUGGGAGCACUCCACUCCACAAAAAAUUGCUCCACUCCACCAACUCUAAAAAACUCGCAGCCAAACGCGUCUAGCUCCAGCAACUCCGGCUCCAAGAAAAAGGUGGAGCAGGGGGUAGAUCCACGUUUUUUGUGGAGUACCUCAAGAGGUGCUCCAAAAACUCCAUCUACAGACCUCCUCGUGGAGUUGGUGGGUAUUUACCCACCAUUGCCACUCUUUACACAUGGUACCGGUUCGGGAAAGGGAAACAAAAGAUGCUCCCGUCGCACUCUCCACCGCGCCGCCCGGCCGGCCGUUGCCGCCCGGCCGGCCGCCGCCGCCGCCCGCCCCGGCCCCGCCCGCCCCGCCGCGCCGCCCGCCCCGACCCCGCCCGCCCCGCCGCCGUCGCGCGCCCGCGCCGCCCCGGCCACCGUCGCGUGCCCGCACCGCCCCGGCCGCUGUCACGCGCCCGUCCCCGGCCGCGGCGGCCGCCCGCCCGGCCGCCGUCGCGCGCCCGUCCCCAGCCGCCGUCGCGCGCCCGUCCCCAGCCGCGGCGGCCGCGCGCCCGCGCCGCCCGCCCGGCCGCGGCGGCCGCGCGCCCGCGCCGGCCGCGGCAGCCGCCCGCCGCGCGCCCGCGCCGCCCGCCCGGCCGCGGCGGCCGCGCGCCCGCGCCGGCCGCGGCGGCCGCCCGCGGCGCGCCCGUCCCCGGCCGCGGCGGCCGCCCGCCGCGCGCCCACGCCGCCCGCCCGGCCGCCGUCGCGCGCCCGUCCCCGGCUGUGGCGGCCGCCCGCGGCGCGCCCGCGCCGCCCGCCCGGCCGCCGUCGCGCGCCCGUCCCCGGCCGCGGCAGCCGCCCGCCGCGCGCCCGGCCGCCGUGUAGAUGACUCCGUGCUGCUGCUCUUGCGAUGUGCAAACAGGAAGAAAGAUGAAUUGCUUGCUCGUGUAGAUGAGAUGGUGUUUGAGUUGUGAUUGGUUCUCGUCGUCAUUUCUGAUUGAUGAUCAAGAUUGUUCUACAUUUCGCAUGAUAAUUUCUUGUAAUAUAUGUAGCAUUGUUUAAAACUGAGAAGAGGAGAGAGAGGAAGAAGAGAGGAGAAAAUAGAAGAGUAUGACAUGUGGGUCCGUUCACAAAGGGUAAAAUAGACUAUUCACAACAAGUGCUCAUGUUUUUGGAGCUGGAGCACUGCCAUCAGCCAAACACGUGCAGCAGCUCCAUGUUUUUUUGGAGUUGGUGGAGUGGAGCUAGGAAAAUGUGGAGCUGGUGGAGUGGAGCUGGUUUUUCUGGAGUGGAGUGCUCCCAAACAGGCCCUUAAUCUUCAAUUAUCAACCACUUUGGACCAAUAAGAGUAUGCCACGUCAUUCGUACAAGAGAUAUUAAACCCGAGUGACACUGCCAUGUAUUUCAAUCAAAAGAAAUGAACAUAGCACAUCUUAAAACUGACUGAAAAAGAUAUAGAAAUCACUCAGAUUUCUAUCAACUUGGAAUCCUUCCUUUCAGAAACAGAAGAGCUCACGUUUCUUCACUUGACCUUGUCUCUCAACCAAACAAAAUCACAUCUGCGUGACUUGGUGGAGAAGAACAACAGCAAAACCUUGAGAAAUCAUGCGCGCCUCGCGUCUGACCUUGCAGAGGGCAACGAUGAAGAUGAAGGGAAAAGCUAAAGCCAACCAGAAUGCAUGACCAUCAGAAGAAGGAGAAGAUCAACAUGAAUUGAUCAAGGUACUGAGUACUGACAUUUGAUCUUGCUCUGUGAUCUCUUUCUUAUGAGAGAAGGAAAAAUGUCUGCUGGUUGAUCCUGGAUAAAAUAAUGAAGAAUUUAGAGUAAGAUCUCUCUGGUGUUUGUUGCAGGCAGUCAAGAUUGCAUCAAUUUUUGAUUCAAAUGUGAAGGCAACACCAAAGACAUAUCAUGUCUUGAAGCGAAAGGCACCUUUUUGGUUCUGAUAAAAAACUUGUUCUCUGAAAGUUAUUCUAAACUCUAGAUAUCAGGGCUGUUUUGUCCUAAAAUGAUGCAAGAACAUCAUUAUGCAAGAAAUCUAUCUAGCAGACAGUGUUAUCUUGCCAUCAUUAGAUUUCUGGAAAAAGAAAACAGAGAGAGAACAAAAAUGCAGGGUUAGCUCUAGUCUUUGUAUGUGCAAAAUACUAGAGUUUUGGUGAUGAGUAACUUACGCAAUGUUAACUCUAUCUUGCCAUCUGAACCACUAAUGAAUAAAACAAAGAAUACAUAUUCUUUACUGUUAGUGAUGAGUAAUUUUCAGAACAUCAUGCCUAAUUGAUAGUGCCUUUGGGCAAUGACUCCAACAUUCGAUGAAUAUAUGCAUAAUUGGAAAAGUAGACCAAACAGAGUCGAUCCUAAGCCCAAACAGAUAAAUGGUGCAGCAGAACUAGCAGCAUAGGAGUUGCCAACAAAAGAAAAUCUAUGAAAGCAUCAACAAAUUUAAAGAUGUACCUUCUAGGAAACAAAUGCUCAAUGAUCUACCAUGAGAAAUGGCAGACAUGCUACAGAUAAAAUUGAACUUAUUCAGGAAAAAAGAUAAAAAUUGAACUUACACAUAAUGCCACAGAGAUCUUUCGCCGUGAAUUUCACCAUCUUGGGCUCUUGGCUGCCUUGGAAUAGCACACUAAGCUAAACAUGACAAGGCCUCUUUGGAUGCCAUCAGACUUGAUGGCAGUGAAGGUGCACUCCAUCUAGAACCACAGUAGAGGAAAUUGUUAUUAAGCUUGACACAUUGAAUAACUAUGACCAGUUAGUUUCUAGGAAAUCUUCAAGCCGUUAUAUGGUGGUUUUAGAAAAAAAUAAAAAAUAAAACACUCUGUAUAUUCAGAAUUUACUGAAGACUCAAUUAAAAAAAGAAUUAAUGAAGAUUAAUUCAGACCACUGAAACAAGAAAAUAAUGAAUACACUUAGCAUUAAAUAUUCGAAGAACAACAAACAUUCAGAACAUGGAACACUGAACACAGAAAAUACAAUACAAAUAAAACAAUAACUUCAAACUUAACAAAAUACUAAUGGAAGAUUGAAAUACUGAAGCAAUGAGCCACAAUUGGCUGGUGGUCAUUGAAGCAACCAAGCAACAUCAUCCUCACAUUUCCAUCACAGUGUGCUCCAACAACUCCACCAACAUGAACAGGAACUUGAGGACGUCACGUGCACCAUCCUGAGUUCCUGACGGUGGCAAAGGCCUUGCUUUUGAAAAUCGCCAGCACCGUAUCCUAGAGGCAUUUUGCCGUCUAUUUUGGGAAGGAAUACUGGAAUAGCACACAGGGGCGGACCUUGUAUAAGGACAUAGGUGUACAGAUGUACACCCAAUAUUUUUUUGCUAAACACUAGCAGUUUGUAUGUAUACAAUACAUAUGCAUACUCACAGCUUGUCCAGAACGUGUAUAUUUGAGCCCCAGCACUCGAAAUAGCCCAGCAAUAUCCCAAACUCCCUCCACCCUCUCUUCUUUGUCUCUCGCAUGCAACGAUGGGCCGGGCCUGGUAGUAUUGCCCACAUCUGCAGUCUGCACAAAAGCCACCUCAUUAAGCAGGGGAGCAAGCACGCGCUGUCCAGGCCAGAUGCGAGCAGCAAGCGCCGAGGUAAGGGGUAGACCAACAUCAGGGGGAGUGAGGAAACGCUGUCACGGAUUGCUACACCGGCGGCCGGUCUUGCUGUAGUCUGUACACGAUUACUAUAGCUACUCAAUAAUAAAAACUGCUAGUUUCAAUUGUACAUCAAUAAAAAAAUAAAUUUGAAAACCCCCUAAUCUUCAUCUGAAGUAGAGAAACUGGAAUUGCAAGGACAAAGUGUUGGGUUGAUGGGACAGCACGUGGUGUUGAUAAUUCAUGAACAUUAACAUGACUAAUAAGUUCUUGAAGAUGAUGGAUAAUUUAUGAUGUUGACAAGCUUUUGUAUGACCAUGGGGGAGAUGAGUGCCAUGUGCCAUGUUAGGUUAUGAUGAUGUCAAGACAUAUUGCAUUAGCGCCUUGACAAGAUACGAUUUUCCAAGAGAAGUGUAAAAUCGUGUAGCAAAGACAAUCACCUAGACCUGAAGUAUACUAGAUUGUAGACUCCCCCCUUCUUUUAUGGAGGUAUAACGUUUGGAAUCUCCGUACAGCUAAUUCUAAAAUCCUACGUCCGCCACUGAUAGCACAGAGAUCAAACAAAAGGAUCCGAGAGAUUGCUAGUGCGGGAAAUGAAAGACAAUGCUUUAUCAAAACUGAGAACCUACCCACAACACAACUACCAAUGCAGAUAUUGAAACCAAAUCAACGCACGAAGAACAAACAAAAUGAAUAUACGUGCGCUGAGCUCGCGGGGAGUGAUGGAGUGGUGCCGGUAAAGAGGGGGUGACCGGGGACAAAUCUUGCUAUCACGCACACAAGGUGUUUGUGGUAUUGUCUAGAUGGGGCUUUGCAAUUGUUCAAUGUUCACAGUGGACAUGGUAGCAUUACGUGUAUGGUCACGCAUCCUCGAGUUCUGCGACCAUGAGCGCGAUAUGUCAAUGGACACUAUGAUCAUUCACUAUCGCUGAAUUUUGGCCCUAGUCUAACCAAAAGCUGGGUCCGCCACUUAUCGCAAUCCAGCAAACCGCCGACGACGGUGUCUCUCAUCGCCGGCGGUUCACGGGAGCCGACCUCUGAGAACAUGAAAAACUGUCGAGUGAGCGGAUAAUAAUAGCGAGCUACCGGGCCAACGGAACGAACGGGCCGACAAACACAACAAACAAUGGCCCGUCAAUUAGAACACAACUAACAGCAGCACAGAUCUUGAAAGGAUCGUGGCCGUUGAAAUCCGAGUGAUAAGAAGAUAUAAAAACACCCGAUAGAUGGUUAGAAAUUCCGUUUUUUUUUUAAAAAAAAAGUGGAGGAUGGCAGGGAAUAUGUACAAAUGCACUGCACAGCACAGCCCAACGACCAAACCCAUUUCUAGCAAAUUUUGGUUAACCAGUUGUGGUCUGGACCAGGCCUGCUUUGAUUCUUUCGCGUGCGCGCGGAACCCAAACCACGCACCUCACCAAUCAACUGUCGGUGCGGCGGCCAUGUCCGGCAAGGAGGGUUUUACGAACACUGUCGCGCUCGCGGAGGAAAGACUCGCCGCCUCUACAGUCUGGAGUAUACCGAAAGCAAAGCACAGUGGCUGCGGCUCCCCUUUCCCGGAAUCGGAACAAAAAAUUGGGUGCAUCCGGGAUGCAAAACGCAUCCUGUGCAUACCGACGUUGUUGGGCGACGUGUGGAUGCCGAGCCAAUCCAACGGAUCGCCUGCUCCGCCUGGUCUCGCAUGCACUUCCGAGCUCCUGGCUCCUCCUCACAGACAAUCUCGGCUCGGGUCCCUCCCAGCCUGGCGAGUGCGAUGUGCAAGUCUCAGGUGAAGAUCGAUACUCAGUAGUUAAUACGUACUACCUGUAUGCUACUACUAGUCAAACAAACCAACACUAGUUCACAUUGGUUCUAGCUAUUUUGCACAGAAAGCUUAUCGGAGAAGCCUGUUUGUUCGCUUGUUGUGUAAGGAUGAGAAUGAGAUGGCGGCCGAAUAUACACUUGAUACCACUUUGUAGUUUUCUUUUGUUAUGUUGACAUAUGGAUCUUACUGUGGCGUAAUCAUGAAUUUUACUUUACAUUAUGUUGCAGCUGAAUCAGAUAUUAACUUAUAUUACAAGGGAGAAUGCUACUCAUGAUAAUAUAUAUGUGCACUGCUUCUUCAGUUUGCAUCAAAUUGUAGGAUAGACCAUAGAAAAAUUUAGCAUUCCAAUAACUAUGAAAACACCCCACAUCGAUGAUGCAAACUGUAGAUAGACCAUAGAAAAAUUUACAGCAAUUUUCUUAAAUUUAUAGAUGAUCUCAAUCCUCAAUUGUCAAUCAUGUUACAAAAUCAGCAAUUUAUAAUUACAAUUUGAUAUGCCAUCCAGCGAGUGGGAGGAACGGAUGGAUGUUCUCAGGUAGCUCUAUCCACAGUUUGUGCCGGAUGCCAGCAGCUUCUCAGCUUGUUGCUUACAUUUUAUUAGACACAUCCAUUAUAUUUCAGAUUUCCAAGCAUCCAUAUGUAUUUCAGAAAAAAGAGAUACGAUGUACAUUGAUCCUGUGAGACCAUCUACAAUACAAAUAGGUCUGCACACAUCAUACAUUGACACUUCAUCCUGCCAAUACAAAAAAUCAAUCUACACAUGUAACUUCAUCCCUACACUAUUGCCUUGCGAGCACUGCUGGAGAAGGAUGUGAUGACGUUGAGACACAUCAACAUACAUGACUUUCAACUAGGAGUCUGAAAUAAAAUUGAUUUAGUGACUGCAGACAUCUUGAACAACUUGACAUAUUAAAAAAAACCAUCGUCUUCUAACUUGAUUGUAGCACCUAUGCAGCCAUACUUGACACAAGAACAACAAUAAGCAUGUACUCAAAAUACCCUAACCAAAAAUGUCAAACUCAAUCAUAAUUUGUGAGUUGUGACUCACUGUCCUGAAGCAUUUGGAUAAGCCACCAUUCCGAACCCAAGUUCUCCGAAAUUAUCACAGUAACAAGAUAAAUCAUAAAAUAAAAACUCCUAUGGAACCGCCUUGUCCGGAGCCGUCCCUCCCAUCUGUUGGCCUCCCGCCUAGGCAGCAUCCCUGACGCACCCCUUGUUCUUCACAUCAAUGGCCACUUCUACCUCCGCAUGGUGUAUCAGGUUCAUCAAUUGAUGUUCUGUUCUACAGGGUACAGGCCAAAUCAAGUAGCGUCAGAACUAUCAGAAGUGGCACCAGAAGAUCAUCGUCCUUCCAGAGUGAUGGCAGAAUGUGAGGAACAAGGCUAAUAUAUGUGAAGUGUGCCCAAGAUUAAUGUUGUUUUUUUAUCACGUGAAGCUAUCGAAUUUGGCUAAUAAUCAAAGUGAUCAAAGCUCAAAACAACAUAACAACAGUAAGUGGAAUGCGCUCCCCAUGAGGCCCUGAAUCCAUUUUGCUCCAUUUUGUGAACAAUCCAUUUUGCUCCCAUUUACUGUUUGAGAUCUUGCUGGAUAGGUAGUAGCUGCUUGAGCAGGAGCAGCAAAUUCUCUAUUGGGUGCUAAUAUGACUAUAUGAGGAGGAUACUUAAGUGUGAUGCAGUAUCUGUGAUUUGGCGAUUGUCAAGAUUAAGAGACUUUAGCGAACUCAAGCUAAGAAUCUUCUUCAAACAAAUGCUAGUAAUCAACAUAAAAGAGAGAUUUGUGCUUUCGGAAAAUAACGCAGAACUGUAGAAACAGAACAUCACAAGAACGGUUUUUCUUCUAAACUAAAAUAUUGUAACGAUUUAAAAUCAUCCUAGCACGACACCUUAAAAUUGGAAAUCAUUAGGUGUAUGGCUACGAAGCAUCUAUUGAGAAUAAAGGUCAAUUUUAUAAAGGACGGUAGAAACAACAGUGUAAAUUAGCAAGCCAACACGGGAUCUAAACUGCUCUAUGCGCAGAGAUUAAAAAGAAAUGGGAAAAAAAAUAACGCUACAUACUCAACGCAACCUGCGCCAUGACCUUUUGCAGCAUGACCUGCAACACCACAGUCCUGGCUCCCUGGCGCCGCUGGCUCCACGGACCGGCGGACUGCAUGAACCGAAGAAUGCGGGAUCCCUCCACUAACCGCAGGAACCAGAGAGCACGGGGAGAGCUUGUGCAGGACCUCCCCGGAACCGAGGAAGCUGGAGGGGGAUGCGGCGGACGGCGGCGGCGGGGGCAGAUAAGGGAAGCGGUGGUGACAGAUAAUGGAGGACAUAAUGGACCGGACGGCUUCACUGGUCUGUUUUUCAAAUCAUGUUGGAACAUAAUCAAAGGUGAUGUAAUAGUGGCUGUAAACGCCUUCUACAACGCUAGAUGCAACAACCUCAAUUUAGUCAACUCAGCCAACAUCGUCCUAAUACCCAAAAAGGAAGGAGCCGAAAGCAUCAAGGAUUUCAGACCGAUAAGCCUCGUACACGCCAUUGCAAAAAUCAUUAGCAAAAUUCUGGCAACAAGACUCCAGCCAUAUCUAGAGAAAUUGAUAUCACCAAGCCAAAGCACCUUCAUAAAAGGAAGAAGCAUACACGACAACUUCAUGUACGUUCGGAAUAUGGCAAGAAGAUUUCACAGACACAGAACGCCGACGCUGCUAAUGAAGCUGGACAUCUCAAAGGCCUUUGACUCUGUCCGAUGGGAUUACCUGCUCGAGCUGAUGCAGCGCAGAGGCUUUCCCACGUGGUGGCGGGACUGGAUAACUGCAUUACUGGCCACAUCAACUUCCAAAGUCCUGAUAAAUGAAAUCCCAUCUGAUUCAAUCGCACACGGGCGAGGACUACGACAAGGAGACCCGCUAUCCCCCUUCCUCUUCAUCCUUGCGAUAGAUCCGUUGUACCAACUAAUACACAAGGCGACGGAAAUGGGACUACUCAAAAAGCUCGGAGGGCGUACGCCACGCACCAGCAUCUCCAUGCAUGUUGAUGACGCGGUCAUAUUCAUAAAACCGACACAAGCAGACGUCGCAAAUGUAACAAAGCUAUUGAAUCUUUUCGGGGAGGCAACUGGGCUUAAAACAAACCUACAAAAGACAAAUGUGGUCCCCAUCAACUGCGACAACGUAGACCUCGAAGAAAUCCUCUCAGAGUGGCCGAUUGCUCGCACAGGCUUCCCAUUAAGGUACCUCGGACUACCACUUGCGAUAAGGCGCCUAAGGAAAUUGGACUUUCAGCCCCUAAUGGACAAAACAGCACAGAAGCUCUCCGGAUGGCAUAGUCGCAAUCUCUCCCAAGCAGGACGGGUUUGCCUCACCAAAGCAGUGCUUUCAGCGCAGCCAUUAUACCUACUAACCGUCAUAAAAGCACCAAACGAAGUACUAGACGAACUAGACAAAAUAAGGAAAUGAUUCAUCUGGGUCGGAGACACAACGCUUACAGGCGGCAAAUGCAAGGUUAAUUGGAUCAAAUCCUGCUUACCAAAAGAAAAUGGGGGGUUAGGAGUGCUAAACCUACACAAAUUCGCUAGAGCAUUGAGACUGCGAUGGAUUUGGCACGAGUGGGAAUCACCGCGGAAAACAUGGAUUGGAACGGAGAAAAACAUGGAUUGGAACGGAGAUACCAUGUGACGACUCCGAUCAACGUUUGUUCGCGACUUGCACAACGAUCACAGUGGGUAAUGGACGCAAAACAAGCUUCUGGCAUUCAGCCUGGGGACAAGGAACUAGGCCAAAGGACAUUGCGCCCAACAUAUAUAUGCUAUCCAGGGGGAAGCAUAAAAAACUAGCAGAAACCUUAUAUAACAAUAGCUGGGUGGCGGACAUAAACAUUCACGAAGGACUGACAACGCAACACCUCCAAGAAUUUGUAACACUAUGGCGUCUAGCAACAAUGGUGCGGCUGCAAACACAACAGGAAGACACAAUUCAAUGGAAAUUCAUGUCUAACGGAAAAUACUCAGCGGCAUCGGCAUACAAGGCGCAGUUCCUGGGAUCCACUUAUGCACCACACUACAAAACAAUAUGGCACUGCUGGGCGCCACCGAAAUGCAAGUUUUUCGCAUGGUUGAUCCUCCAAAACCGCGUAUGGACAGCCGAUCGACUUGUGCGACGAGGAUGGCCUCACUCCCCUGCAUGCCCCUUGUGCCGUAUACAACAAGAGACAGCACACCACCUAGUGGCUCAGUGCAGAUACACCAAGCGAAUAUGGAGCCUCGUGGCCACUUGGGCAUCGCAACCAAGCAUACAACCCUCGGAAUGGUCCCCAACCGACAACGCUCUGGAAUGGUGGAUGAAUAUGACUACAAGGACCGAAGCCCCUAGGAAGGGAACAUGCUCUAUGGUGCUGCUGAUAAUAUGGGAAAUCUGGAAGGAGCGGAAUAGGCGAAUUUUCAACCAUCAAGAGAUGGCAGCAACCUCAUUGCUGGCCAAAAUCAAGGAGGAAGCAGGCACAUGGAUUUUAGCAGGGGCAAAAGCUUUAGCAACCUUUUCAUCUAGAGAGUAAUCGCGUAAGAGUGACAUAUUAUGAAACACUUCUAUAAUAAUCUACUCUAUCAAUGAAAUAGGCACCGUCACGUGCCCAUUCGUUAAAAAAAAAAGACAGAUAAUGGAGGAGGCGGCGGGGAUUUGGUGCUUUGGGUUUGCACUGGGGAGAGCCACGUUGCAACCCUCGCUCGCCUGGAGUUGAGCCGCGUCCUCGCAUUGUGGUAGGCUGGCAGCCGAGUCCGCCCAUAGACGUCGGAUGGAAGGGGCGCCCACGAUGUCGUUCAUUCAGGGACGGUAUGCACCGGAUCUUUUCCCCAGAAUCCCAGUUCAUCACUCGCAUUCGCAGGCGUCCCAGGAGUACAUGUGUCAUCGGUUGCUCAGCCCAGGGCCUCUAGGGUGUCAGGGACCGAGAUAGUACAGGAAACACGAGAUACAUAUCGAAUUUAAUGGCGCCACAUGGGCAUGCUGGCGAUCGGCAAAUCCUCAAGAGCUUCCGGAUGCUCCAGCGUUUUGACCUACUCCGUGCAUGCGCGGUCCAGGAAAGCACUCAGCACUCAGCAGCAAGCUGACAAAUAAAGGGCCGAAAGGGGAUUAACUAGCUGAAGGACUGCACUAAGAGAUGUUUGGAUACUAUGUGCUAAACUUUAGCAGUGUCACAUCAAAUGUUUGGAUGCUAAUUAGGAGGACUAAACAUGGGCUAAUUAUAAAACUAAUUGCAGAACCUUGUGCUAAUUCGCGAGACGAAUCUAUUAAGCCUAAUUAAUCCAUUAUUAGCAAAUGGUUACUGUAGCACCAUAUUGUCAAAUUAUGGACUAAUUAGGCUUAAUAGAUUCGUCUCGCGAAUUAGACUCCAUCUGUGCAAUUAGUUUUGUAAUUAGCCUAUGUUUAAUACUCCUAAUUAACAUCCAAACAUUCGAUGUGACAGAUGCUAAACUUUAGCAGUGGUUAUCCAAACGGGACCUAAGUAUGAGACUAGGCUACCUCAGUCAAAUUUUUUGAUACAAUGAGUAUGAGACUAGCGUGGAGUGAAGAGCUAGUCUCUCUCACUUUUUGAUGCAACUCUCUCACAACACGAUCUUCAAAGCUGCCAUGUACGUAAGAUCCACAUCAACUAUGAUCUAUCAACUAACUUAUACCAUUGGAGACACGCUAACUUAUGAUUAGUUGUUGUUUAAGUGUAAGGACCUCAAUCAUCAACUAUCAUGGACACAGAGCACGCGUGAGGAUGAUAGGAAGAUGGUAGGUCUUCGGCACAAAAGGAUUGGGUAAAUUGCACCCUGAUUAAUUAAUCCAUAUUUGACCCCUAUAAUUGGCAUCCAAAUCCUAUAGAAGUAAACAAUAUACUUGGAUCCAAACGACUCCUCUGUUCAAUAAUGUACAUAUGGAUAUACAAUUCCGCGCAUGCAUAGCAUCUAUGCCUUGGACUAACGUCCAUAAGAUUUUAAUUUUUUGGGUACGUUCAAAGAAGAUGCAAACCAUAUAUAAAUCCCUUGUUCUUUUGUCCUUAUCUGUACCUUAUUACGUCAGCUUUUUUUCAAAGCACAAUACAGAUUGACGUCUGUAGUUAUUCGGCAAGGAGUCAUAAGAUGCAAUUGCACCAGAUGUGUUUGCUAAUUUGAGAGCUCCAUGCUAGUUGGCACAUGCAAAAUAAGGACAUUUUUUUGUCGAAAAGAAAGACUUUUGUAUCCUAAAAGAUAAAUAUGACCAACAGCUUACGCAAAAUCUUAUUCAAAAACAUGAUUGAACCUUUUGAAAUCAACACUGGAUAGGCAUGUAGUACACUCCGGGUUUCAAUCGUGGCAGCGGCAGCGCGGCCCACCCGCUCGCAGGAUACACAUGACGUGUGGUAAGAGUGACGGCCCUCUUGCAACUCCUCCUUUUGGGAGCCUUUUUAUGCCAAAGUUGGCAUUUGGACUCUCGCACCUUCCCCUAGUAGUCCAGACUCCAGACCCCCUCUAUAUACACAUACCACCACCUUGGCACCUUCAGCAAACACAACCAACCUGGCACUCUCUCAUAGCUAGAGAGAGAGAGGCGUAGAGAUAAUCAGAUCGUCAGUCAGAGAGAGGGGGAGCUAUAUAUAGCCUGUAUCAUUGAGGAGGAGGAGGAGAGAGAGAUGGAGCAGGUGGCCAUGGCGGUGAAGGUGUUGCUGAGCCUGUGCUGCGUGGGGGCAUGCGGCCUCGCCGUGUACCUCUACUACAUCCUCUGGCUCGUGCCGCAGAGGGUCCUCGCCGAGUUCAGGCGGCAGGGCAUCGGCGGGCCGCGGCCGUCGUUCCCUUACGGCAACCUCGCCGACAUGCGGGAGGCGGUCGCAACCGCGAAGGCUGCGCGCGCGUCGGCGCGCCGCCCCGGCUGCUGCUGCGGCGGCGGCGGCAUCGUGCACGACUACCGGCCGGCCGUGCUGCCCUACUACGAGAAAUGGAGGAAAGAGCAUGGUAAGUACGUGGCUUUCAGCUAUGCUUUCGUGGCAUUUGGUGCUUGGUCAUGUGGCAUGCACGCGUGGUUUUAUUUCUUUGAUGCCCAAUUUGAGUGUGUGCUAUGAUUCUUGCUCUAAUUUGCACUCGAUCUGACGAUUAUUGCUGGGCUACUGCUGUUAAUCUUAAUUAUGUUUCACUGCUCCAUGGAGGGAGAUCAUGAUUCAUAAGCCAACGAAUCAUUAGAAGAAACAGAAACAAAUCACACCUGAGAUAUGUAGUUAGGAGCUAGCAGAGACGUCCAUUCAUUCUAGCUUUUACACGCGUUCAGUGAAUGUGUGUUCUGAUAUCAGUACGUAUAGCCAGCCACCAAUGCGAGAAGACAGUGAAAAAGACAAGGUUAUUAAAAAACUAAACAAUGUUGGUCCAUUGAACCACUGGGUAGCAACUGGUGACAAGCUGCAGCAAUGGAAUCCAAGCCCCUAUGUUUUGGUUAAAGAAACCAAUGAGUCAGCAGAGGGGUGGCGCUACAUGUUAUCCCAAUAAUUGAGCCAUCACUAGGCUGGCCACUCCACAUGAAGAGACGACCAUGUAGCAACAGAAAUCCCACCACUACUUCUUUGCUCUUCUGUCACCGAGUGCCAUCCUUUUCAAGGACCCGGCGGUACUGAUGGCUGAUGGGCGCACAUCCAGUUGAGCGAUACUAAACUACCAAAAAUAACUCCGCCAUCCCAUGUCCAUGCUGAUCCUACGCUAAUUGUAGCUGUUUCAACGCUAACAGCACAAUCAACGGGGUCCAUCAUCUCACGCAGCGUAGGCUAGCUACUUUUGCUGUUGCUGUUACUGUUGUGCAGCAGGAUGAAUUAGGUGAGCUGGCCAUCACGAUGGGAAGCUCCCCUGGACGCUAGCGGCACGGAGAGACGUCACGAGAGAACAAACCUACAAAGAUCUGAAACCAACAAAUCGUAAAGAAAAGCUGGGGUGGGGUUGAGGCGAUGAUUUUGUUUUUAGAUCAUGUCCUGUAGUUUUGGCACGACGCAAAGGGGUCAGGGUUGGGGUCUUGGAACUGGGAGCUAGCCAAGUCGAUGCUCCAUGCUAUGCUUCCCUGAAAGUAAAGCUGAGCAUGAGUUGGGAUAGUUGGGAUAUUUAGAUAUUAUUCGCUAAACUUUAGCAGUGUCACAUCGGAUGUUUAAAUACUAAUUAGGAGGACUAAACAUGAGUUAAUUAUAAAACUAAUUUCAGAACCCUGCGCUAAUUUGCGAGACGAAUCUAUUAAGCCUAAUUAAUCCAUCAUUAGCAAAUGGUUACUAUAGUACCACAUUGUCAAAUCAUGGACUAAUUAGGUUUAAUAGAUUCGUCUCGCGAAUUAGACUCAAUCUGUGCAAUUAGUUUUGUAAUUAGCCUAUAUUUAAUACUCCUAGUUAGCAUCCAAAUAUCCAAUGUGAUAGGUGCUAAACUUUAGCAGGGAGUAUCCAAACGGGUCUAAUUUUUGUUGUUUCUUUUUCCCCUUUUGAAAUAUAUAGGUUUUUUUGUUGCCUCCCAUUCCUCAUAAUUGAAUGAAUAGUAGUACACUAACCGAGUAACGUAAAACCGCAACGACGACCAAUGGGUAUCCACCCAAGGAAACAUUUCACAAUCAGGUCACGUCACGGCGGCAUCACGGAGGAAGAGGACAUUCCAUUAUUGUAUGAAAAUUGUAUGGAAGCCAAUGUAUCGCCCGCAGGCCGCAGCAUGGCCCCUGUCCUGACGCACGACACACGAGCCAGCGUAUCACAUCAGUAAAGAUGAGGCGGCUCGCGUAGCUCCAUCUCUGUUCCUGGGCUCGGUCGUGUAGCGCUUCCUCUCCAGAUCACUCCCCGAGCGAGACCGGUCAGAGAGAGCUGAAAGGGAGGGCGUUGGCGUGAUCGGCGCCGCGGCACGUCGGUGUCGCGGGUGCCGCCAGCACGGGGCGCGCGCGUGCGGCCCCUCUCGCAGCCCACGCGCGCGCAGGUGGAGCGGGGCCGCGCGGGCGCGUGCUUUUCAUCGCUGGUUCUGCUUCACGCUGGCCUGCCCGCCUGGCCGAUGGCCGAUGACGCUUCGUCGUCCAGCCGUUGCGAUGUGAUCUCGCAUCCCCGCUCGAGAGGGACGGCGGCCUGGUGGGAAAGGAACAACCGGGACGGCAGGCAGAGAGAUCGGCCGUUCUGCUUCGGUUUGGUUGGCCGGCUGGCUGCCGAGCGUGGGUUGGCUCCUCCGGGCACGCGUGCUCCGCCCGCCUCCCGGCCGGUGGGAAGAAAAGUAGCGCGGUUACGGAUGACGAAAUGGGAAGCCGAGUACCGGACGACACUGUAGGGUGCCCACCGCCGUGUCGCAUUCCCGGCGAGCGAUCCCGCUGAUAUUUUCCCUUCCAUGAAUAUCUCGUGAGCUGCCGGUGACCGGCAGGCCGAUAGCCACCACGUGCCAUGAAAUUUGUCUUCCUGAAGCCAGAUCCCACGACCCUUACGGAAAGAAUGAGGCCAGGUGGGGCAACAGAAAAAAAAAAAAGUUACUCCCUGCAUGACCAUUGAACAGAAAUUUGUCUUACAGAGUAUACAGAUCAGAGAACUGGAUGUACCUGGACAUAAAACUUUUUUUUGAAAGAUCCCGGACAUCAAGCCCUGGAUGACCAUUGAACAGGAUCAGUAACUCUGCAGCUUCCUCAGUUUCUGCAGUACUAGUAAGUCGAUAACAGUGCCAUGAAUGAUGAAUAGACUGUCAUCAAAUGUAUUUUAUUUUCCAUAAUUGAGCAUAUAAUACAACCCCGUGGCUGGACCCCCGUCCACAUCUAUUUAGUACUUGAUGAAGAUCAAUACCGGAUUCCCAUUAACCUACUAAUUUGGCUGUGGCAGCUUAUUCAGCAACUAGACAGUGACCGGUUGAGGAACAGGCCGAGCUGAAGCUGUCAGGUUUUUAUUGAAAUGCAGGCCCCAUAUUCACUUACUCCAUGGGGAACGUCGUAUUCCUUCACGUGAGCCGGCCGGACGUGGUCCGGGACAUCAACCUCUGCGUGUCGCUGGACCUCGGCAAGAGCUCCUACCUCAAGGCCACGCACGAGCCGCUGUUCGGCGGGGGCAUCCUCAAGUCCAACGGUGAGGCAUGGCUGCACCAGAGGAAGAUCAUCGCCCCUGAGUUCUUCCUGGACAAGGUUAAGGUACGAGGCAUCAAACUGUCCCAACGAAUAAGUACAGGUAAUUAACUGUUGUACCGUAAAAAUAUUGUAUGUAAACAAAGCUACGCAAACAUAUCAAUUAUGAAAAUUAAAACUUUGAGAUGCUGCUCACUUGCCCGCUCAAGAGUUGGCAAUCCUGAAAUGCUUGCUCAAAGAGAGCUGUAUUGCAGAAAAAGAUUUAAAGGCCAUCUGCCGAUAAAUUUCAGAGGUUUCAGAUUGAUACAAGAGCAUUAAAAGCUGUGACCCGUGGGCCUCAGCAAUUAAGCUGUGGGUCUAUAUGUGCCUGCUUAUUUGCAAACGCAAUUCAGAAUGGCAGUUCAGUAUGAGAGCUGGUAUGAAAAACUGCAACAUUCUGAUCAAGAUAGAUAAUGUGUGAUAAAUAUUCUAACUAGGACAGCUCCCAACAGCAAAACUACGAUGUUCUGAUACAGCUAGAUAAUGUGGGGUGUGACUCCAGUCAGGAGUCAGGACCACUUCAGUAACUCUGCAUUUUUUACUCAGCUCUUAUUGCAGUCACUUAGUUCAUUAGCUGGAGGCAGCAGACAGCCAUGAAUUUUGAAAUUUUAGCCUAACCCUUACGCCUUCACAUAUUCAGGGCAUGGUGGAUCUCAUGGUCGAUUCUGCACAACCACUGCUCAAGUUGUGGGAAGAGAGAGUUGACAGAAAUGGUGGGAUCACAGACAUUAAGAUCGAUGAUGACAUUAGGGCCUACUCUGCAGAUGUGAUCUCUAGAACAUGCUUCGGAAGCAACUACAUCAAAGGAAAGGAAAUUUUUAUAAAGAUAAGAGAACUACAGCAGGCUGUGUCCAAGCCAAAUGUGCUAGCUGAAAUGACUGGCCUAAGGUUAGGGAAAAAAUAACUGCUGGUUUAGAAACAUAACACAAGUACAUAUUUGAUUUUGCGCAGGAAUAAAAAAAUACAUUGUUGUCAAUUCAAAGCGACAUAUUGGUUAAAAAUACCUAAGGGGCAUAUUUUAAAUGCUUGCAGGUUCUUCCCUUCGACGAGGAACAAGCAGGCAUGGGAGCUUCACAAAGAAGUCCACAAACUUAUCCUAGAAAUUGUAAAGGAAAGUGGAGAAGACAGGAACUUACUAAGUGCAAUUCUUCACAGUGCAAGCUACAGCAGGGUGGGUAUCGCCGAGGCAGAGAACUUUAUAGUGGAUAACUGCAAGAGCAUAUAUUUUGCAGGAUAUGAGAGCACAGCUGUCACAGCUGCCUGGUGUCUAAUGCUCCUUGGGCUGCACCCAGAAUGGCAGGACCGGGUACGAGCAGAGGUGCAUGAAGUCUGCAGAGGCCGGCCAUUAGACUCCCAGUCACUUCAGAAAAUGAAAAAUGUAUGCUCUUAUCCUAUCCCCAAGUGUUCAAAAAGGCACUGCUUUGAUUUGCUGUAACAUGCCACUAACUUCUGUUUGCCAAUUUAGUUGACAAUGGUGAUCCAGGAGACCUUGCGCUUGUACCCAGCAGGGGCCUUUGUAUCAAGGCAGGCCCUCCAGGACCUGAAGCUUGGAGGUGUACAUAUACCAAAAGGUGUCAACAUCUACAUCCCUGUCUCCACAAUGCAUCUUGACCCCAAGCUAUGGGGCGCCGAUGUGAAAGAGUUCAACCCAGAGCGCUUCUCUGAUGUUAGACCCCAGCUACAUUCAUACUUGCCGUUUGGUGCUGGGGCACGGACCUGCCUAGGGCAGGGAUUUGCUAUGGCUGAGCUCAAGAUCCUCAUCUCUCUUAUCAUCUCCAAGUUUAUUCUGAAGCUCUCACCACACUACGAGCAUUCUCCAACACUUAAACUCAUUGUUGAGCCAGAGCUUGGUGUGGACCUCACGUUAACAAAAGUGCAGUGUCUAUAGACUAAGAGGAGGUCUGCAAUUCAACACGAUAACAUUAGUCAUACUAUGUGAUGGAAAGGAAACUAUGAUCUGAUGAAUGCAGCUACCAAGGAGGGAGGGGGGAGGGGGGGUGUUGUAAUUUGUACAGAGAUAUCCCAUGAUAUUUAGGCUUGAUCUUUAUCUUGUUCAUGUUCGUAAUAAGUCGAUAGAGAAAUGGUGCCAAAUGAGGCAAUCAUUUGUGCCAACAUUGUAUGGGAAAACACUACAGCUAUAGAAUUAGUACCAAAAAGAAUAUAUGUUGGAACAUUAUUAAGGUGUUCAAUGCUCGAGCAUGCCGAUACAGAUGUUGAAUUGUUUGUUGAACAAAAGGGGUGCUGCGCUGCAUACCUUACAUAUGAACAUAACCUGAACCUCUCUGCAAGUUGCAACAGAAAUGAGUGAAUAGAUAAUUUUUCUUCUCCACUUGAUCAGCAUCUGUAGCAUUGAAAUGUACUGACAGCAUUUCUGAAUAUCAAGGGAGCUGAACGUGAAUUAGAAUCAGAUUGAACCCAGGGUAGUUUCCAUAGAAAAGAUCUGCAACUGGUAAACUGAGAGUGGAAUAUAGAUAAGACUUACUUACACAAAAGGUUGGUUUGUAUCACCACUCAGCCUAAGGUAGUAGACAAAUGCCUUUAGCUGUAAAGCAUUAUCCAACUGCAAAAUAACACUGACCCUGAGCACUAAAAUAGGGGGAGGCAACCAUAAAACAUGCUCAUAAACAACAAAUGUGUCAGCAAUUCAUAAGUAAGAACAAAGGAAAGAUAACCACGCGUAAUGCAUAAGACACAUUUCAAACAAAUUGAUCACACUUGCACACAACACAUACUUUGACAGUAUAAAUGCUGAAAAAACUGUCUUCUGACCAGAAUUAAUUUACCAGAACAAUAACAGAAAUCCACAUUGGAGCCAACACAAACAUAUUUCCAGCAACUUUGAGUAUAAUUAACUUUUACAUAAUGCUGGAACUGAUAUUGAUCCAACCCAACAGCCAAAACUAUACAAGGAGGCUCAGCCUGACACCAACUUCACAACAAUGAUAAGAACAUUAAGGGCUAUCAAGGGCAUCCUCAGAAAUUGCGUGGCGUAGAUAAGCCCCACGAUCUGGCCCUUCAACGACUUUGUUUGCCCGUUUCCUGACACUUCAGACAUGCUCCAUCCCCUAGGAGCAAGAAAACGGUCUUCGUUCAGUAUCGCCAACGCAUUUGCGAGAAGCAAAAAACCCUCUAGCAACGUCCACAGUCCCAUUCCU
Molecule: long non-coding RNA, 55351 nt
Filed under: Setaria viridis
Lineage: Eukaryota; Viridiplantae; Streptophyta; Magnoliopsida; Poales; Poaceae
Description: long non-coding RNA (SVIR_LNC011292)
Source: RNAcentral